AAACAAAUGAGGCAACAAAGCAACCUCAAACCUAGAACAGAGCAGCAAACUCACAAAGCACUCAUCUUCAACAAUCAAAUCUUUAUAACCAACUCGCCAUCCGAUAGGGUAACUUAUGAACCCAUUUUGGCGCCAGUUGAUAAAGAACCCAGGACCUAAUAUACACAAACGCAAUACAACAACAGUACCACCCGACCAGGUACUAACUCUUGUAUCAGUCGCUGUUAUAGCAUUAAGUAACUCAAGCUAAUAGUUAGAACAGAACCAUGCUCAGGGUCCAUGGAUUCCAACGGCUACUUCAUAGGCAAGCCCUUUAAGUUUUCCCAAGCAAUUCAGCAUUAGGAAGCUUCCACAGUGAUCCUACGGUUUUACCUUAACUGGUUAUUCUAAUAGUUCAUUGUAUUAGUUCCAAUCUACGAGACCUGGCACUACAUAGAGCUCCCGCAGAAUUAGGAAACCAUUUCCACACAGAAUCAUGGUUCCCAGCAGUUAAACAUGUCAAUAAAAAUAGACAGGUAAACAUCACACCAACCUAAAUUAUCCAAAAACUGACACAAAAACACAUAACCCGGAAUAGGAUCAACAGUGAUAUCUUACCUUGAUGAGCUCAUUGGCUUCAAGAUUCGCUAUCAAAGAAGCGGCUACCUUCUCCGUGAUGCCCGAUUUCCCGACCAAUUGGGACUUGAGCUUCUUCCCCAAUCCCUGAGCGUACGAAGCUAGCUCUUUCUUCUCCCUAACAGUCAAGUUCAGCACUUUCCCUUCAUUAGAAGAACAGGAAUCAUCGCCUCCAUUUUCCACUAACUCGGAACUUAACCGCUCACCUUCUCCUCCUUCCUCGUCUUCGGAAUCAAGCUCGAUUUCGCAGCUUAAACCUUCGCCGCUUUCCUCUACUAAAUCUUCUUCCUCCUCUUCUACUUCUUCGGUUGUACGAGAGUGUGAAGAGAAAGCACGUUUGGAGAAGAAGAGAACAGCAGAAUGGGAUUGGAGAAGAGUACCGGAGGAGGCGGUUGUUGUGCGACUGGAACUAGGGUUUAGCCUGAAGUAGCUAUCGGCGUGACUGGCUUCUGCGGCGGAUGACCGAAUUGAUUGGGAUGAGGAGGAGGAAAAAACCGGAUGCCUGAGUGUCGAUCGGAGGAGUCGGCGGAGGAUGCUGAUGGUGACGGCUGACGAGGCAGAGACCGAGGAAGCCAUCGCCGCCAUUACUGUUUAUGGCGCAAAUCGGAUUAAGCUUUCAAGCAUUUCUUUAAAAUUUAUGUGUGAUUACUAAUUCCGCACUCUACAUUAGUAUUUCUCGCUGUUUUAAUCCUUUAAGAUAUUAGACUACACAUUUCAGUACACUGACAAUUCACAAUGUCUCAAAACAGUCAAACUUCAGGGGGCAUUUAUGAUUAAGAUACUAAACAAAUAUUUAUAGACAAUUUAGUCCCUGAAGGGAUUGAUUACCUAAAUCUAUCACAAAAUUUUAGAUUUUCAAUCCAGUGAUCACUGAACGAAAAAAAAUCCUAGAGUAGUGCCAUGAGUGUUAACCUAGUGAUCACCUCCGUCUACGGUAUCUAAUUUUCUGUUCAGUUAUAUAUAUCAAAUUUAUGUCAUUUUGAAGAUAUUUCGUCUCAAAAUCACACACAAAUCACUCAUUCAAACGGUCUAUUUCAAAAAUAGUAAAUUUCAUUCAAAUAUCUAAUUAUUUCAAAUCUCUUCUAUUUCAAAUCACAUACCCAAAUGACAACCCGCAAAAAUUAUCCAUAAAUUACCUAUUCAAACGAUCUAUUCCGAAAAUAAAAAAUUUCACUCAAAUUUCUCCUAUUUCAAAUCCCUAAUUAUUUCACCUACCUGAAUCAUACAAAAAUUUAGUUCAGUUGACGUUGUAAAAGCAAAUGCAUGUCGACGAUUAAUGUACUAGUCGACAGGGUAGCAGAUUAUUAUAAGAUACUGGCAUUUAUUUCCGUGAAUAAUUGACAAUCAAUGUGAAAAUAUAUUUGUGCAUGAAUGGUGAGACAACAAAUGACAAAUAAGGUUUACGUAACGGUAGGUUUACGUUAGCCUUGUGUAACAACAGUUGUUUUUUAGGUAAUAGGCAAAAUUAAGCAUGUUAUGUAAGAGUAAAGGCUAUUAUGCAAGACUUACAUAACGAUAGUUGUUCCUUACGUAACAAACAAAAUUAAGUUUGUUACGUAAGAGUAAAAACCUUUACAUAAGUCUUACGUAACGACACUUAUUUUAUAGAUAACUAACUCAAAGUUAAGUCACCUUAUUUAAAUUAAAACAAAUUAUCGUAGAAAAUAUCAUAAUAUUUUAAAAAAGUUACCAACUAUAAAAAACAAAUUACAUAUUAUCAAAUUAUAUACAAACAUGCACGUUCACGUCCGAUCCGGUUAAAAAAACUCAAACUUCUUGCACCCUAAUUAACACAAUAGACGAGACCAAGAUUUCUCUUGCACAUAAAACCCAAAAAAGCACUACUCCCAAGUAACGUCGGGUUCUGCAUGCAUGCAAAGUCACAAAAGCACAUCAGCCGGUGACCGUAGUACGCUUCCCGACGGUCCCCCGGUGAACGGAAGCCCGGUUGGAGCUGUCGCGCGGCGCGGAGAAACAAAAUGACUAUUAUUUGGCUAAGUAUUUUGCUUAACCUUUUUAAUAUUGUUGGAGUUAGCUGAUCCUAACUCUCUCUUUUUUUAAUUAUGUUGACAACAUUUUUAAUUUAUUGUAAAAGUGGUUUAUUAAUUAUCCACAUUAAUGCAAUUCAUCUUUAUUUUUAAAAAUGAUCCAUAUUGUAAUUUUAUCAUUACUAAUAAAAAUAAUAAUGUAAUUAUUACAAGACCAUCUCCAACCUAAUAGGCUAUGAAAUAGAUGGGUGUGGCAGACCCAUAAACAAAAGGACCUCUUUGCUAUGCUCUUACUUUUAAAAGGAAAAAAGUGCCAUAAAUAUAUAAAAAAAUAUGACUGAGUUAUUUGUUAAUUUGGCCAGUUAGCUAUAUAUUUGCCUGGUCUANNNNNNNNNNNNNNNNNNNNNNNNNNNNNNNNNNNNNNNNNNNNNNNNNNNNNNNNNNNNNNNNNNNNNNNNNNNNNNNNNNNNNNNNNNNNNNNNNNNNNNNNNNNNNNNNNNNNNNNNNNNNNNNNNNNNNNNNNNNNNNNNNNNNNNNNNNNNNNNNNNNNNNNNNNNNNNNNNNNNNNNNNNNNNNNNNNNNNNNNNNNNNNNNNNNNNNNNNNNNNNNNNNNNNNNNNNNNAUUUAGGUUAUUUUAGAUUAAAUAAUUAUGCUAUACAGGGUCUGAUAAUGAUCAUUUGAGAUUAUUUUUGUUUCAUCUGGUCUACCUAAAUUCUUUCGGAUGACAUAGUGUCUACCAACAAAAAUCUAACAAUGCUAUAUACAAUAGUGGUGAAUUUUUCAGUAUAUAUUUGGCAUAUCGAAACUUUCGGUGUGCCAAAUUUUUUUUUGGUAAUGUAAAUCCAUCACCAACGUCCAUUUUCAUAAUUAUUCAAAUAUUAAAUUUCUAUUUCACAUUUUAUUAACAUAAUCGCUCCAUACAAACAUAUCUUUAAUCUUAUUUUCAUAAUUAUAACCCCAAGCGUUUAAGAUGUUAGAAAGCUUACGCGAAAACGACCGGCAAGUAGAAGAAAUCAUACGCUGCAUGAGCCAAGUCGCCCAGAUUCUCACCACUGCUAGAUUCCUCGUCGACGACAUUCCUUUUAAUAUUCCUCGUCGCCCAGAUACUUUUUAAAAUAUGAAAUCCUGCUAAAUACAGUUGAUACUUUUUAAAAUACGGUGAAAUUAAUAUAAUAUCUUAAAUUUUAUCUUACAUUAGUUUCGAACGAAGUACAUUACGAAAACUAACUUUAUUAUUUUCAUUCAAGUUUCAUUUCACAUUCUACUUUGCAAACAUAUAUAUAUCGCUAAAUAUUUAUGAAUGAUGAUGUUGAGAUUCGAAUAUGAGAACCUGCUAAACACAAUCGAUAUUUUUUAAAUCACAAUAUAUGACUACGAAGAUUGACAGUUUUUUAAUUUUGUUCUGUCGGAAUUAUUUGAAUUAGUUGAAGAUUUCAUAUGAUUUUCUUCCAAUUUAUAAUUGCAAUAUGACAAUGAAUGACGGUGACGUUCGUUUGGUUACCAUAUCGGCCAUAGAAACGUUGCAACAGCAACCAUGUUAUUGGACAUAGUUCUGCGGCAAAUAGUAAAAUAGUAUUUCUAAUCAGCAAGUAAUUGUUCAUUCCGAACGUCAGAUUUGAUAAAUAAAAAAAUAAUUUUAAAUUAAGGGUAAAUUUAUCAUUUUUUUUUUCUUAUAAAUAAUUAGUUUCUUAACAAGUAUUGGAUUUUAGGUUUUAAUUUUAGGAUAUUGAGUUUUCAAUUUUAAAUUUUGAAUUUUAAAUUUUGAAUUUUAAAUUUUGGGUGUAAUUUUUUUUUAAAUGAUAAAAUUGUCCAUGUGGGCAAUUUAUUUGCCGCCUAAUUUGGUAGCCAAGUUGAUGAGUGUAGGCCAAGUGUAUCUUUCCUGAUUUGGCCAUUUGCUAUAUACCGAACGGCGACGUUUCAUUUGUUUUUUUUUAUACCUCUGAUGACACAUUUAAUUAGCGGUUUCUAAUUAAUUACCCGCCUAAAAAUUAUUCAGCUGAAAUUGAUUUCAACUGGGUGCCAUUUGAAAUGUAUAAUGCGAAGGCACAAUCGUUUCGCAAGUGGAGGUGUUGGACCGAGCUAGGGUUAACUUGGUGAGAGUUGGUGCAACAUUGAUGGCACCUUUCCAGCCAUUUCAAACCUUUUCCGUAGAACUCAUGUGCCCUCGUCUUGUGGUUUCUGACUUAUAAAUAUGUUGCGUGCAAAUUUUUAAGUGGUUUUGCUUUUAAGAAUUCGACUGUGGGCGGUCUCAUCUCCGAAAAUGAUAUAUUUCUUUCAACUCAAGGUUGGUCGAUAUUUAAUUUUGUUUCCUUUCUAAAAGGUGCUAUUCUAGUUUAGUUUAUAAUAUCUUGCUCUCUAUUAUUGAUCUUCUGCAUAAUUGAACUCGUUUUAGGAAAUGUUGAUCUUACUUCCACAGUUGCCAUUCUUAUCACUAUAUAUGUUACGCCGGUACGAUACGGUUUUGAAACCAUUGCUUCUGAUUAGAGAAUUGAAGUAUUAUAUGGCGUCUAAUUCUUGCUUAGGGUUCUUAAUUACUCUCUUAAUCAUGUUUCUGGUAUGCCUAAUUUCCCUUCUACUGAUCAUGUUUAGUCUUAAUAAUUACUCUGUAUCUAUAUAUAUAUAUUCAUAAUUAACAGCCCUUUAACUAACUGAUCAUGCAGCUGGGUAUGAUCUAUCCCACAAAUGCCAGGACAUUAGGAAUUGCUGCAAGCGAGUCCUACUGGAGAGAUGUCAUGAAAGGUCAACCUUUGCCGGAAUCACUCAAAUCCCUCGUCGUUGCUGAGGUGGCGGUGGCAAACAAUGAUCGGGAAGGAAAGGGGUGUGAAGCCGAGGAGAUUGUGUUGAAGGUCGACGAUCUUUCAUCUGACAAAUUCAAUAUUGAUAUCGAGCCACAACCUCAAGGCCGUGACGUGGUUAGUACUAAUAAGUUGAUCACAACAAAUAUUGAGUCACAACCUAAAAUUUCAAGUUAUGUCGAAAAGAUGACUAGGAAAUUCGCAAAAGAUAUUGAGCCGCAACCUCAAGCCACAGAUUACCGCGAGGGCGUCAAGCCAACUAAGUUUACAAAAGAGACUAAGUCGCAACUUCAAUUUUCGGGUUUUGACGGAAAUAGCAAGAAGUUUACCGAAGAUAUCGAGCCUCAACAUCAACUUACGAAUUAUCGCAACGACAUCCAUCCAAAUGAGUUUACAAAAAGUAUCAAGCCGGAAUUUCAAGUCACGGUUCAUGGCAAUGGCAAUAAGUUUACAAAUGAUAUUGGGUCGGAACCUCAAGUUUCGGAUUACCGCAACGUGAUCAACCCAAACAAAUUCCCAAAGGGUACAAUCGAGCCACAACCUCAAAUCAUAACUUAUGGCAACGGUAAAAAAUUUACAAACGAUAUCAAGCCGCACCCUCAAGUUACAGAUUACCGCAACCACAUCAAACCAAACAAGUUCACAAAGGGUAUUGAGCCACAACCUCAAGUUACAGACUACCGCAACGUCGUCGAACCAAACAAGUUCACAAAGAGUAUCAAGCCACAACCUCAAGCGACAAGUUAUGGCAAUAUCAAAAUCUUCACAACAGAUAUCGAGCCGCAACCUCAAGUUUCAAAUUACCGCAACGAGAUCCGUCGGAGCAAGUUGGUGAUGGAAUCUUGAAGUCGAUGUGGUUUAGUUCACUUUUUACCUAUGGUCUUUUGUCGGUUGGAGUGUAAGAAAAAUAAGGUCAAGUAAUUUCAUCCUGAUUAUGUACUUGUAAUGCUAUUUUAGAAAGCAAUUAUAGCUUUCUACUCUAUUUGUACAACUUUUUUAAAUACGACAAUAAAACGCUCUUAGUUAUUAUUCAGAAUACAAGUAAACUUAAAAAAAGAGACGUCAAUCAAAUUAGAAUAGAGCUAACAUGACAAGCCUUGAUAAUAUAACGGUUUUAAAACCCCUGUUAAUCGGUAAUGAUUUAACAGUAGAAAUAAAUCUUUGUUAAUCGGUAGUGGUUUAACAGAUUAAUCUUACGAGAAAAUUAGUAUGAACGGAUGAGUCAUAUAUAGGCUUGAGAAUGGAUCGGAGUUGGAUUUAUAUGAAUUCAUUAUCCAUCCAUUGUAUUUUUGGAUUUAGGGAAUGCCCGCCAGAUGAUAACAAUCAGAUUUAGAUUUUGGAUUUGGUUGGGGAUCCAAAUUUAAUCCGAAACAUACUAAACCAAGAUUGAAAAUUGAGUUUAAACCAAAGCAAAAUCAACCAGAUAACCAUCAAAUUAUCCAAAAUACUAAAUUUACUUAACAACCUUCAUUAGCAAAAUCCAUCGUAGCAACUAGUAAUAUAAACCAAACAAUAAUCCCUUCAACAGAAACAUAAACCAAACUAGUCUAGGAUUAUUUUUAGGUAUAUAUACUUCCGAGCGGAGUCAGAUCAGAUACAUGUGAAUCUGAUACACACCCGUUACCAGUCACCUUCAAAUUCGAAUCCGGACAAACUGAAUUUUUUCCGGGUUAACCAAAUCAGAUUCAGACGAUUUUUCGAAUUUUCGGAUCAAAAUACCAAACCUAAUCACAUAUCAAAAUCUUAUCAACAGUCUCAACCCAAAAAUUUGAUUGGGCCCAGCAAUUUUGUUGUUGUUGGAGAGAACGUUUUGGAUCAAUGAGUUAAGGCCCAAUGAAAUAUCACAGACAUAAGCUCAAAUCAAAGCCCAAGCUGAUGAACGGUAUAAUCUAUCGACCACAGACAAUCUCUAUAUCCAUGCAUAAACCCUAGCCAAACUUUCCCCCUCAAGCAAUUCCGGUUCAGAGAUUCUCCCCGUCUCCGUUCUCCAUUUCGUCCCGUCGUUCUCCAAGGUUCGUCCCUCGUGCCUGAUCACUCUCUUUAUUAAGCCAUUUUCUUCGCUACGGAGAAAUGCGCGUGACUUAGUAAUCCCUAGGACAAAUAUAGCUUCCAUGGUUGUUUCUGCUUUCAUCUCAUUGACUACAAUAUCUUUCCAUUGUCCUGAUCAAUUAGAAAAUGUAUGAUUUUCAGCUUCACAGACUGCACUAUUUUUUGGGCAAUUCGUGAUUUUCUUAUUUUUCGAUCGUCUUUAUAAGUUUCAGGCUUUCAGCUUAUGUUUUGGUUUUUGUGAGAUACUGAGAUUCAGAGCUUCAACUACUGGUUCGAAUAGUGAUAAUGAAUGCUUAUAGAGCUGUUUCAGUUUCUGAUGUUUGUGUUUAGCACUCGAAUUGGUCUCGAAUUUUGUUAACUGGUUUUGGUUGUUCUGUGGAUUUAGUUCAAGCUAAGAUGUACACCGCUAAGCAGAAGAUCCACAAGGAUAGGGACGUCGAACCUUCCGAAUUCGAGGAGUCUGUUGCUCAGGUUUGGAGGAAAAAACCUUCCUUGAUAGUUCUAUUGACUUGACUAGAUUUGAAAAUUGAGUCUGAUUAAGCAUGAUGCUCUGUUGUUACUACAGGCGUUCUUUGAUUUGGAGAAUACCAACCAGGAGCUGAAGAGUGAGUUGAAGGAUCUCUACAUUAACUCGGCUACGUGAGAAUUAAGAAUUCAUUUUGAUUUUUAUUUCGGAGUUAUGGCCAUUUUUGUUUUUUAUCACUAUUACUGAUUAUCGUGUUCUGCAGCCAGAUUGAUGUCUCUGGGAGCCGGAAGGCUGUUGUGAUCCAUGUUCCUUACAGGCUUAGGAAGGCUUUCCGUAAGGUUCAUGCUCGGCUUGUGAGGGAGCUCGAGAAGAAGUUCAGUGGAAAGGUGAACAUGAACUUUUCAUUUGUUUUGGCUGCUACAAAUUAUGCAUUUAUGUGUGUUAGUAGUUGAGUUGGCUUUUUCAUGAACGAGUUUUCAGGACGUCAUUGUGAUAGCUACAAGGAGGAUGGUGAGGCCACCAAAGAAGGGCUCUGCUGCUCAAAGACCUCGCAGCCGCACACUCACCUCAGUCCACGAAGCAGUGCUUGAGGACAUCGUGAUGCCAGCUGAGAUUGUGGGGAAACGAACUAGGUACCGAGUCGAUGGUACCAAGAUCAUGAAGGUAAUGCUGCUAGUUCCUUUGUUGUUGUCGAUAUUGAACUAGUGCUGUAUAGUAUAGAGAAAUUCAGCCAACAUUCGACAUUUGUUCUUGCUUAUGAUUGACACAAUGGGCUCAUUUGAUUGUGAAAUCGAUGCUGGUGCAGGUGUUCCUAGACCCAAAGGAGAGGAACACCACGGAUUACAAACUAGAGGCCUUCUCGAAAGUUUACAGAAAGCUUACAGGCAAAGAUGUCGUAUUUGAGUUCCCAGCAACUGAAGUGGCCUAGGUAGAGGUUAGCUAGCUAGCUAGCUCAAAGCUACAUGUCGUUUUCGAGAUGAUUACGGUGUUGGUAAUUCAAUUUUUGUGUUCAAUGUUAACUUACUAUGUGAGGAAACCAGAUCUCUCCAAAUCGGAUUAUCAAUUUAUCAUUGGUAGAGUCACAACAUCCAGUAUUAAGCAUCAUAUAGUGACAAUGAAGUCGAUACCUAUGUGUUUUCUGAUUACGGUUGUGCAAAUUGGCUCGAAAUGGUUAUCGGAAUACCCUCUUGCCUCUAAUAUUUACCUUGGGUAUCGAGCCACAACCUCAUUUAUCAUCGUAUAGCAACAAUGAUCAUCGAUUCAUAAUAUUUUCACACUACAAAUUCACCAUGGUUACCGAGCAACAGCCUCGAAUGUCUCUUCAUUUGUCAUCGGAUGGAAAAUCGACAUUUUAAAACAUCAGUGUCAUUUUUGUUAAUGAUGUUUCCACCAUAGUGUGGCAUGCAAAUUGAUAAUUGAUUAGUUACUAACUGUAGAAACCAUUAUGGUUAAUCCAUUUAACCAUAUCCGUGGCCUAACUCUACUUCACUCGGUCCGACCAUCUGAGUAAUCAUUUUCCACUGACCAUACGGGCCAGGGGGACGACGGGCCUCGCAUUUUGCAAAUAGAAGUUAUAAACCCAAAAAGUCAUCAGAAACAUAAAGCCCAAUUUUAGUCAGCCCAGGCAAUCGAGCAAGCCCAGUUUUCGUAUUCAUCCUGCAUAAAACCCUAGCUAACAAUUAGCAGCCCUCCGCGCAGUUCUCCACUAGAGCAGAAAUCCUCAGAACUAUCGUCGCCUCCCUUGACGAUUUCGUGCCGCCGCUCUUCUCGGUAGGCACUGCUUUUACUCUCUACUGGAUCCUGUUCUUCGUCUUCCGUUGUUUUGUUUGUCUAAUCUCUGAGAAAAUGUAUGCUAAUAGCGUAAUCCUGGGUUAUCUUCCCACUGAAAUCUAAGUUUGAGUUUUAGCUUCACGAAAGUCUCUGUUUUCUCUCAUGGCUGGUUUAUAUCUUUUAAUUUCCGGUAUCAGUUACGGCUGUGUUAGUUUACCAAACCCUAGUUGAAUCAUAACGCCUAACUUUUAUUUCUCUGCUCAUUUGGUGAGGGAGGUCUUCACUUCUGCAUACAUAUUUUCUUUUAGAUAACCAGAACGUUGUCAACCUAAUAAAGCUGCUGUCUUUUCUGUUGUGUGUUCGUGUUUAGCUGCCAAUUCGGGUUUCAAUGUUUAACCGUUUUGGUUUUGUGUUGUUUGUUCUGGUAAAUGCAGUUCACGGUAAGAUGUAUACCGCAAAGCAGAAGAUCCACAAGGAUAAGGAUGUUGAGCCUUCAGAGUUUGAGGAGUCUGUUGCUCAGGUAUGCGGAAAAGACACAUUCCUUCAGACUAUUGACUUUAGAAGAUUGAAAUUUGAUUCUGAUUAAGGUAUGUGGUCUUUGUCUGUGCUGCAGGCGUUCUUUGAUUUGGAGAAUACCAACCAGGAGCUGAAGAGUGAGCUUAAGGAUCUCUAUAUCAACUCAGCCACGUAAGAUUUGCAUCAUUUCUACUAUGUGAAGUGACGACUGCGUUUUAUUCAGUGACUGAUAUUUUAUGCCUGUUUGUGUACUGCAGCCAGAUUGAUGUCUCUGGCAGCAGGAAGGCUGUUGUGAUCCAUGUUCCUUACAGACUUAGGAAGGCAUUCAGGAAGGUCCACACCAGACUAGUGAGGGAGCUUGAGAAGAAGUUCAGUGGAAAGGUAAUUGAACAUGCAAUUUGUUUUGUCCACUAUUCCUGUUUGACCUUUACCUUCUGGAUAAAGGCACUGAAAGUUACCCCAAAGCUGUAUAUUGGUUUGUACACUGCACUGUUGUAGACUUGUUGUUCUAAGUUGGCUCACUUUGUUGAACUUAUUUUCAGGAUGUCAUUGUUAUUGCUACCCGGAGGAUGGUGAGGCCACCAAAGAAGGGCUCAGCAGCUCAAAGACCCCGCAGCAGGACUCUCACUUCGGUCCAUGAAGCAGUGCUCGAGGACAUUGUGAUGCCAGCUGAGAUUGUUGGGAAACGUACUAGGUAUCGCAUUGAUGGAACCAAGAUCACGAAGGUAAUUCCUUUGUGUUUGUUGAUAUUGAAACAAUUCUAUGUAUUACACAAACAUCCUACCAGCAGUUGACAUUAGCUAGCUAUUUAGCUCUGUACCUUCUUUGGACGUCAUAGCACUAGCUCAUCAGAUAUUCAAGUUCCUUGUAACUCAUAAUGUUUGGUCGUGUAGGUGUUCCUAGACGCAAAGGAGAAGAACACCACGGAGUACAAACUAGAAGCCUUCUCCAAAGUUUACAGAAAGCUCACUGGCAAGGAUGUCGUCUUUGAGUUCCCUGCAACUGAAGUGGCAUAAGGAGGUUAGCUUAGCUAGAUGAAAGCUACAUGUGGGUUAUGAGAUGCUGAGGGUGUUGUUAUCUCUACUAUCAAGAAUUGUUGUUUCUUAAGAGAUGUUUCAGUUUUGCUAUUUAUCCCCCCAGUGUUCUCUCUUGUGGACCUUUGUUUUAAAGAGAGUUUACCAGUCGAAUCUGCAAUGAAUCUUUUGUGUUUUGCUAUAAUGUAAGGUCUUUGCACAUCUUUCUGGAUACUUGUCUUCAUUAACGUGCUUGGCAUUCCUCAUAGGAAUCCUUCGUCUUGUUAUGUUUCGUAAUUGCAUAUCAUGCUUAAGGGUGGCCAACCUAGAUGGGCAAAUUAGCAAUCCGUGCUUGAUAAAUGGUUUGAUUUAUUGCUUUCAUGCUAGUUGCUAAGGUUCUUAGCUUUGGAUUUGGUAAAAACUGAAUUUUGGUUCGAACUCAAACUCGAAGUUGAGUUUUAACUCGAGAGUUUGCCGAGGACCUGGAGUGCCAAUCAAUUGUGCCAGCUACUCCAUUACUACCGCUCCUAACAAACAAGGCUGUGGAAUUCAGUUUAAACGCAAGUAAGUCUUGAGACAAUCAUCAGUGAUGGCACCAAACUCUGUGGCAUCAGUUAUUGGCCUUGUAACAGCCAUCUGAACCGCGUUUUGAGUAUCACAUUUUGAAAGGCUCGAGGCCAUCAUCCAUUGAAUCCCGAUCAACAGUGCUCAAGCUUCACCUUCCUUGACUGCCGGAAGACCUGCGAGAAUAUGUUGAUGCCAGCCCUUAAUUUGCCCAGCCAUGUCUCGAAUAACAACCGAGUAUGAUAUCGGAACAUAUGAAAGUGAGAAAUCUGUUAAUAAACAUGGCCGCUGGGCAUUCAACGUCAGCAGCAGAGCCAUCUCCUUGGUGACCAAUACUGCGGGACGCCAUUGUGCGUGUCUCUGUCGUCCCUACAACGUAGACCAAACCUCGUGCACUGCAUUUAUUUGAUAACUAAUAUGUAAGUGUAGACCCGAAAAUAGGGCAGAGAGUGCUAAUAUUCUUUGUUAGUGGGGUAUCUUUGUUUCCUGCUGAUGAACUGCAGACACAAACACAAGAAGAAGAAGUGAUCUGGAAGGGAAAGUAUUAUUAUUAUGAUCAUCAUCUUCAGCCCCAAAAAGCUGUGAAAUGCACGUGAGCCGCUUGUGGGAAAAGCACAACGAAAAAGAAAUCAGUCAGUGGAUAGAAGAAGAUGGGAGGAGGAUCCCUUUCUUGUUGAUUAAACCUCCCUCCCUCCAUGGCCCCAACCCAACUGCAUAUACAGCUCACAUAACCACCACAUCCUAAAUCUACAAGACUACAACUAUCCCAAGAGAAGAUUAACAUGAUCACUACGCAAGGGAGGGAUACGCAAAAUUACUUGCAUCGACCGGAUUAGAAAGGCCGGUACAAAGAAUACCAGCAAAUGAGUUUAACUGCAUCCGUCCCGUCCUCAUAUUUAUCAACUCAAAAUGUACUCUCGCCUAUACAACGUCUUGCUUCCCACCAUUUUCUCUUGUGGUUGGGUUAGUAACUUACACUCACCUUUCUCUAUCUCCCAAUUGGCAACAACUAAGAACUAAUGAAACAGUCUCUAGCUAUGCUUUGAUUGCAGUCAACCGUCCCUCUCUCACACUCUCUCACAUGUAAGAUUAAUUGUGCGGAAUGGAUGUGUCUCCACUAUUACUUUGCUCACUUGCUUCAAAUUCUACUCUUUUUUUUCCCAAACCUAACUUAGAGCUUAUUGGAGCUUGUCUCGUUGGCUUCAAAUCUGGGGCCCAAAGGUAUCAAUUUCCAUCCAAAGUUUAGAAAUAGUUAGUGAAGAUACGAGACACUUUUUAUGUGGAGUAAUUUAGUUGAUACAUGAGUUAUAUAAAUUAUAAAUUAAAUUAGUCUGGUCAUAUAUUAAAUUGUUACAAUGUGCUUUCGUAUGCAACUCGUAUCCAACAUGACCAUUUGAUUAUAAAGAGUGAUGAAUCGCCAUAUUAAUGUGAAAAAAUUUUGCCCGUAGGACAUGUGACAAAUUCCAAGUACACCAUAGAACUACUAUUAAUAUACACAUGGAAGACGUGAAACAAGGUAUCUACAUGCGACGAUAAUGUAAAUUUAUCGAUAGUAUCUCUCGAGUUUCACCAUUCACCAAUCAUCAUUUACUAGUCAAAACGGUAAUGUAAAUUUACUGAUGUUAUCUCUCAAGUCUCGCCAAUCAUCAUUUACUAGUCAAACCUCACCAAUCAUCGUUUAUUAGUCAAAUCGAUAAUUCUCAUAUACUAAAAUUGGUUUUUGUAUAUAAUUUUAUCAAUUAGUUUGCACAAUUAAAACUAAAAUAAAAUAAUGUUGGUUUUCAAAGAAAAUACAAUCAUAUAGCACCGUAAGAAUUCUUAAGUAUUCACAAAACUACGAAGUCAUAAUUCAAAAAUUGUCAUUUUAGUGCUACUUGGGGUUAUCAGCGUGAACUCCGAAAGUCAUGUGGUUGAUGUGGUUCUUGAAGGUCAUGUUAUUUUUUGCUUGCUUCGCGGGAAGGAGGAGGAUCAAAUAUUUGGUCUGAUUACAGGGAUGUUGUUGUUACGUGCAACUUGUCGCUUGAUGAGUGUCCCUAGGAAUGCACCGUUAUGAUUGAUGCUGUGUGUGACCUGUUGACGAUUCAUCCUCAAAUUCAUGUUCUUCAGUGUCCGCUAAUUUGUGUAAUGUCUAUUUGUUCUAUAUAUUUUUAAUAGAAUGAUUUAUAAAAUCACCAUCAUUUUUAUAAAAAUAAAGCUCUAUAUUCUCCUCGUCCAUCAGAAUAUUGUUACGGACCAUCAACCCAAAAAAGAAAUUCUUAAAUCUGAUUUCAACUGGCCUGCAAAAUAAUGUGACAGCUGUGUUGUUUUGUACACGUGGCGCCAUCUCAUCAAAGCAGUCACAACGGCCAAAACCGUUGCCGUUAUUUCUUUCCUACCAACUCCGUCGGCCGUCGGCACACGUCGACAAAACCCGUAUAGGGGUAAUUCAGUAACUUGGCCUGUUAUUAAACAAUUGUUUGGCUGCUAUUCCCGCUCAUUUUUUACUGUUGGUUUGAAAAUCGUCUCUCCCCCUUCGUGGGCCCUCUCACCUUCUCCCACCAUCUCACGCCAAUCCUACCUUUUCACAGUAACCGAACCCUAAUCCUCCGAUUAAGGAAGAACUAAUUAGUUAAUUACUGUAAAGUACCUUAAAAUGAAUCCCAUGUCAAAUUUUACCCUAUUUUUAACGGAUGGGAUAAAUAUAUGAUUAGCAUAAUUUUCACACACAAAAUUGAAUUGUGCGAAACAAAAAUAAAUCGUUCUAAAAAGGCGAAUAUUGAAGCAUAAUUUUCACAUUUCUCGACACCAAACUCCAUUUACAAAAAUUGUAUUCUAUACUUACUUUUAUAAGGUGAAACUUUAUUGGAAAACUUUUUAUAUCUAUUUUUUAUGAUGAAUUUGUACGAGUGUAUGUUAUUUUGUUGGCAACAAAUAGAUUAUGUCAUAGAAAUUUUUUGGGAUGUAUAACAAAUUAUUUUGUAAAGAAGGAUUUGGUAGAAUUUGUUGCUUUCUCAUCAUCUUAGCUUUAGUUCGAGUUAAAAUCGAAAAAUAUAACUUGUAUUCAACGCNNNNNNNNNNNNNNNNNNNNNNNNNNNNNNNNNNNNNNNNNNNNNNNNNNNNNNNNNNNNNNNNNNNNNNNNNNNNNNNNNNNNNNNNNNNNNNNNNNNNNNNNNNNNNNNNNNNNNNNNNNNNNNNNNNNNNNNNNNNNNNNNNNNNNNNNNNNNNNNNNNNNNNNNNNNNNNNNNNNNNNNNNNNNNNNNNNNNNNNNNNNNNNNNNNNNNNNNNNNNNNNNNNNNNNNNNNNNNNNNNNNNNNNNNNNNNNNNNNNNNAAUCUAGUUUUUUUAUAAAAAAAUUGUAUAAUUUAGUUAUAAAAUCUAUUAAAAAAUAUCAACAAAUAUGUUGAGGUAAAUUUUUUUUACACAGAUUGAAAAUUGAAUAAACAUUAUAAAAUGAUCGAUCAGUGUUCAUACAGUAUUAGGCAUGACUAUAAAAGAGGAUCAAUUUGUACAGGUUAAAAACUGCCGUGAUUAGAAAAGCAAUAGAUCUCAACUAUAAUGACAUCAAAUUUUGCAAAGAAGUUAGAAGCACGAUUGCUUUUAAAAUAAUCACACACAUUAAAGAAAAGCUCUCCUUUCUCAACCCCCUUUCUGUCUCUCCAUUUCUCUGCAACUCUCUUUGUCGUAAAGAAGACGAAAGACUCUCUCUCCCUCAUUCUCCACUCCUCCUCCAUUUUCUUCUUCACAGAGGUUGCUUACAGCAACGAAGCGAAUCAUCAAUUUUCUCCACAAUGCAUUUCGCUUUACACCUCAUCGCCACGUGACUCCUUCACUGACACGCUCUUCUUCUCCUUCCUGAACCAUUCCAAUUCCUCUUUACGCUUCCUCCGCCUCGUUCGGAGAGGUUAUUCGCUCGCGAGGAAGAAUUUAGGAGGUUUUAGAGAAGCUACGUAUGGCAUCUUCCUCCGGAGCAAGGAGCAGCUCACCGUUCUCAUACCGCAAGUCAUCCAGUCCUUACUCUUCUACUUCCUCCACUUCGUCUUACAUGAGCGGCAGCAACCGUCUCAUUCCGCGUUCCAGCUCCUCAUCGGCUUCUUUCAUCGGCUUCUUCUUACUUGAAUAACUCAGGUGUGGGAGGAGGAGGAGGAGGUUACGGUGCUCGAUCCAUGGCUCCUAGCCGGUCGCAGUCGGAUUCAGUUUACUUAGGCGGUAGCUCGCGCGGUGGUUAUGGAAAUCGUACGCCGGUUGGUUACGAGGAGCUGAUUGCGGAGCCGGUUGAAGCUCCGAGGAGUGGUGAGAGUAUAUCGGUGACGAUUCGGUUUCGACCGUUGAGGUAAGUGUUGGAUCUGAGUGCUAGUCGACUGGAUCGGAUCUACUGUUCCAUUUCAGUUUAGCGUAUAGUAAUGUGCACUUUUUUGGUGCUGUUUGGGUACAGCGAGAGGGAGUUUCAGAGAGGAGAUGAAAUUGCAUGGUACGCCGACGGAGAUAAGAUCGUUAGGAAUGAGUAUAAUCCAGCUACGGCUUAUGCAUUCGGUACUGUGAAUGUGACUUCGAUUUUUUUUAAUAUUUGCGGUGGCUUUUGAGCUCGUGAUUCUUAUUAAUUGCUAGAGUGGAGUGGAUUGGAGAUGCUAAUUUUGAGUUGCGUCGAGCAGAUAAAGUAUUUGGACCGCACACAAUUACUCAAGACGUGUAUGAUAUUGCUGCCAAGCCAGUGGUCAAGUCUGCAAUGGAGGGAAUUAAUGGUAGGUUGUUUAGAUAUGCAUUUGGUAGUGGGAGGCACUCUGAGCUCUCUGACCGCCUUGCUGUGUAGUUCCUUACCAUCGUUCACUAAGUGAUUUACACUCUUUCCUAUUACAAUUUUGUCCAGGAACGGUGUUUGCCUAUGGUGUCACAAGUAGUGGAAAGACAUUCACUAUGCAUGUAAGCUGAACUCUUGCUUACUGGUUGCUUUCAAAUAAUUUACUUGAAACCAAAGUGUGGAGUAGAAGGUUUAUGAUUGAGGUUUGAAUUUAUGCGUUGCAGCCAAAAAUUUCUCAAGGUCUGCUUGCGUUGUUAUUGACAUAACUAUUGCGUUUUGUUUCCCUUGUUUAAUUAUGUGCAGGGAGAUCAAAGUGCUCCUGGUAUUAUACCUUUGGCUAUAAAGGAUGUUUUCAGCAUGAUCCAAGACGUAAGUAGCCAGUAUUUACUUAGCUUUUCCACCACGAAUGGUGUGCCAAACUGUGUUCCAUUUCCCAGCUCUUCUGGCUGCUGGUAUCUGUUGCAUAUGAGGCAGUGAAUUCUGAUCCAAUAACUGCUAGCGCCUGUACAAAGAUAACAGGUCUGAGAUAUUGGUUGGCUUGUGGCAAUUCAACUGUGGAGAUGUAUGUGAAACUAGUAAUUUUGCUUGAUGAUCUUGUAGUGGUUCUCCUUCUGAUUUCUGUUUUAGGAAACAUCACUGGUUGGUCAGGGAUGUAUAAUUCAUUUCAAUGUUUGUUUCAGACUCCUGGGAGAGAGUUUCUGCUGCGGGUUUCAUAUCUGGAAAUUUACAAUGAGGUCUGUUAAAUAUAGCAGAAUUUCUUUACAACUUAAUUACAUUGCAUUGAGUCAUGACUACAUUGUUUGUGCUCAGUUUAGCUCUUUAAAUACUGCAAUACUAUCUCAGCAGGACUGAAUUAUUUGAUAUUAUCUAUUAUGUUUUGCGUUCUUCUGUUAGUUUCUACUCAUCCAUGCACAUUAAUUGUUUCCUUCAUUGGGUUCUAAUGCUUGCUCCCAUAUCAGGUUAUCAAUGAUUUACUUGAUCCAACUGGACAGAAUUUGCGAGUUAGAGAAGAUGCACAGGUAUUCUGCUUAUUGCAUAAACAUAAAUGUAUGAACGUCACUUGUUUGCUGCUUAAUCCCUUAUCUCCUUCUAAAUCCUGAAAUGGCAAAAUAAAUUAACAGAUUGACAUUUCUUCAAACUAUUGAUGGAGCUUUCUGUAACAAAUGAUCCUGUUAACUUUCUCUUUGGAGUGGAGUGUCUGCACAGACCAUUGACAUGACAUGCACAUUAUUCCACUUACCCUGUCUCCAUAUUUUCCAGGGUACUUACGUCGAGGGUAUAAAGGAAGAAGUUGUUUUGUCUCCAGGACAUGCAUUGUCUUUUAUUGCUGCGGGAGAAGGUAUUUAGUUAGUACAUUCUGAUGAUGUGUGUAUAUAUGUUUGAUUAAGCAAGUUCCUUACUGUUGGUUUAAUUGAUAUGUGAUGCAGAACAUCGCCACGUUGGUUCAAAUAAUUUCAAUUUGUUCAGUAGCCGAAGUCACACCAUAUUCACACUGGUAAACGAAUUUCCUCCGGUGAUACACAUACAAAUCUGAUAAUAUGUUAGUAUUCUUGUCAGCGUAAUUCUUUAAUAUUUGGCCAAGUCCGUAGUGACUAACUUACAUGCCUUAUGACUGGCAAUGGUCGAUUAAUGCCUGGCUGAGUUGAUGGGGUACCUUUUCCUAGAACAGAUUCACUGUUUGGAAGAUGUUUCUCAUCUUUUUCAAUCAUUUUCUGUGUAUACGUCGGAUGUAGUAUUGGUGUAAUUGUAUUCCUGUUGGUAAGGCUUCCAAGAUAAUGCCGUUCCAGGAAUCAGGAUACUAAUGAAUAGCUAUCGCCCAUGGCGUGCAUUAUGCUUGAACUCCCUAAAGUAAUUAUGACUAACCGAACUUCAAGUUUGAUGUUGCCAAUCGUCCUUCAGUCACUGAGCCUAUCAAUAGUUUAUGUGCUAGUCUAUCAAUAGUUUGUAACAAGUAAUAUUCCUGUCCGCUCCUCACUACCACUCUUAUUAGUAUUAGUAUAAUUUGAAUGUUGGUCUAGAGAUAACAUGGGUACAGAAGUUUCUGUUCUCUUAGUAACUCAGUUUGGAUAUCUAAUUUAAUCGUCUUGAAAACUGUUUUUGGUUCUCCAGAUGAUUGAAAGCAGUGCUCAUGGUGACGAGUAUGACGGCGUGGUUUUCUCUCAACUCGUAAGUUGUUUUACUAUUUUUUUAGAACAUGUGAUACUGCAAUAUUCUACCUGCAUGCUUCGUCUUACUGUGUUUUCCUUCCCUUGAUCAGAACUUGAUUGAUCUUGCCGGAUCUGAGAGCUCAAAAACUGAAACAACUGGAUUGAGGAGAAAAGAAGGAUCUUACAUCAACAAGAGUCUUCUUACUCUUGGCACUGUAUGUGACUGAAAUCUUACUGCAUAUGCAUGUAUUUUGUAGUUGGCUCAACUGUAGGCAGUACAGUGCAUUGAUGGAUUAAAAAAAUGUUGUUCAUAGUUAAUUUGCUCAUCAGCCCAAAUUUACAAUUUGGAUUUUGGAGCACUAUUUUUAUUUCUCUAAUUUUUGUGGCAGUUAAAUGUGGCAAUUUCUUUUCUUGAUAUCAUGUAGUUUAUUGGUCUGUAUAGGCAACUAUAGUCGUAUUUUCUUUCUUCACGAAGUCACUGGCUUGAUGAUUGCACUGUGUAGGUAAUAGGAAAGCUGAGUGAAGGUAGGGCUUCACAUGUUCCAUAUCGAGAUUCCAAGCUCACCCGUCUUUUGCAAUCCUCGUUAAGUGGCCACGGACAUGUUUCGGUGAGUUUGAAGCACUACUAUAUAAUUUUGAAUAAUAAUCAACAACUGUACUCCUUUUCAUGCAGUUCAGUUAUUGACAUGAACUUUCGCCCAAUUUAACAUAAUACCUCCUGAAUUGUUAUCCAGCUUAUUUGUACAGUUACCCCUGCAUCUAGUAAUUUGGAGGAAACUCAUAAUACAUUAAAGUUCGCUAGCAGGGCGAAGCGUGUGGAGAUCUAUGCCUCAAGGAACAAGGUAUGUAACUUUUGCGUGUGAUUUGUGUCCAUCAGAAUUUGUGUCCAUUUUAAGGUAAAUCUAACAUAUGCUCUGUUUUUAUGAAAAUAAACCUUCAGAUCAUUGAUGAAAAGUCUCUAAUUAAGAAGUAUCAGAGAGAAAUCUCAACUCUUAAAGAGGAACUUGAUCAGUUAAGAAGUGGGAUGCUCGUUGGUGUGAGCCAUGAGGAGAUUCUGACCUUAAAACAAAAGGUAUUUAGUUCUCUAUUGGCUUAGCUUGUCAACCUUCGUCAAUCUGUGUAGCUGGUCUUCGGUCACUUUAUCAGGUCAUGAUUACAUUACAGCUAGAAGAAGGACAAGUGAAGAUGCAGUCCAGACUGGAAGAAGAGGAGGAAGCAAAGGCUGCUCUCAUGAGUAGAAUCCAGAGGUUAACCAAGCUAAUUCUCGUCUCUACAAAGAAUUCAAUCCCUGGAUUGGGUGAUGUUUCUGCUCAUCAGCGAAGUCUCUCACAUGAUGUAUGUUUUCUUCCUAAUUUUUUGUAUUAGUUUGUCUAUGGUGUCUGCUAGCAUCUGAUUUUGAAUAGUAAAUGGCAAUGGACGGACUUGAAUGCAUAAUUUCUGUUCCACCAUGAUGUCUUAUCUUUGAUAAUCCUAUGUUAGAGCAUGGCAAAUUGGUUUGACUUCACUUUUGAAAUUCAUUUCGGAAGGCGAAUGCUUAAUUUCUGGAUUAGGUAUUUGACAAUUGAUUUUAAACUACUUUUACUUUCAAUUAUGUUCAAUCACCAAUUAUUUUCUGUGCAUGGACUACGAAUAUUCAUGGUACACACUGUCUCUUAUCAUCCUCUUUAGAUUCAGGAAUAUCGGACCCGAAAUGAUCUUUUGCUUUUAUUUUGGUUUUGCCAGAAACUGGAUAUCCUGCGAGAUGGCACUUUACUUUUGGACAACGAGCAUAAAGAUUCCCCAUCUACUACUGCAAUUUCAUCAGAUCUAUCUCAUGAAUCCAGGCAUAACAGAUCCUCCAGCAAGUGGAAUGAAGAAUUUUCACCUGCCUGCAGCACGGUUACUGAUUCUGCUGGUGAAUAUAUCAAUUCUUCAAAGUUGGCAACAGUACGUGCUACUUGUUUUAUUCAAUUCAAAUGCUGUUAUUGCAGCGUUAAUGACCUACCUAAUUUAGCUGUCAUGUCCAGUGUUGCUCUGACGUUUAAUAAUCUAGCAAUUUCGCUCUUACUCUUAAGAAUCUAGCAAUUAAACUCCCUUGAAAACCCUGUACUAUGUACAAGCUGCUUAUUUUUGGAACCGUUUGUGAAACUAUCCUAUUGCAGAGUGGACUCUCUCAAGAUCAGAUGGAUCUUCUAGUGGAGCAGGUCAAGAUGCUUGCUGAAGAGAUUGCAUUCAGCUCAAGUUCCCUGAAGCGUCUAGUCGAGCAAUCUGUCAAUGAUCCCGAUAGCUCGAAAACUCAGGUAUGACUAUCAUGAUGAUUACCUUGGUAUUAAUAUAUAUUUAAUUUCAUUAGUUACGCAAAGAGAACACUACUGUGUUAUUGUUGAUGAAACUUUCUUAUACUGUUCUGUUUUUGUCUUGAGGGUACAUAUCUUCUUUUCCACCAUUAUGAGUUUGUGUUUCCAAUUAUUGUGUAGUCUAUAUGUUUCUGCGUGAACAUAUAAAUGGCUGAUAUGUUGUUAUCUGUGGUUGGUGUUUUUGAGCUCAAAGUUAACUGCAUUGCAGUGCAGAUAUGGAAGUACAUAUCAAGGCUCUCUGAUUCUGUCUUACAUUUUAUUGUGGACCUUCUAGUUCAUUAGACUUUUGUACUAUGCUAGCACAUUUGCUUGGAGCUAAAUUGCCUAGAUUUUGAUGAUAGUUUGAAUGUUUAAUCCUAUUGUCUAAAUGACAGAUCCAGAACUUGGAACGUGACAUUGAGGAAAAGAGAAAGCAAAUGAGAGCUCUAGAACAACACAUUAUUGAAAGCGGUGAGGCUUCAAUUGCCAAUGGAUCAUUAGCUGAUAUGCAGCAGGUAGUUUUUCCUUCUUCCUCAUUGAUGGAUUUUGUUUAUUUCGUUACACUACUUAUAAACAAUAUAUAUUAAUUUGGUUAUCUUAAUUACUUUUGCUGCUGCAGAAAGUCAUGCGAUUGAUGACUCAGUGUAAUGAAAAAGCUUUUGAGCUUGAGGUGAGAACUUGGUCUUAAAUCUAUAGUUCGCUAAGCACAUUAGCUUGCAUUUAGUUUAAUCUUGAACUGGUGUCACGCUAUCGUUCAUCUUCAUUGCGUAAACCGCUCUGUUUGGUUCGUAAAAUGUUUUCUUGCUCCUACUUUAAGAUGAUAUAUGGAUUUCCAAUAAUUCUCUUAUGCUUAAAUCUUAAAACUUCAGAUGUAUUAUGAUUACCUCACUUUCAUCUUACUUGGUAGUGAUUUCACUAACUGCUGCAAAAUUUUGUCGACCAAUGCAGAUAAAAUCAGCUGACAACCGCAUACUCCAGGAGCAAUUGCAGAAAAAGGUGAUUUCCAUCGUUGGUCCUGUCUGUGACUCAUCUUAUAUGAUCCUUACAAGUUUUUUUUACUUGUCUGAAUUGGCUAUGAUAGAAAGUCCACCUUCGGCCAUGUCUAAUCCAUUUUUAUGAUCCUUAAGGUUUAAUUUACUCAUUAGGAUCGGUUAUGAAUUAUGAUCUAAUGUUUUAGUAGCCAAUGAUUCCAAGUUGCCAUAUUUCGUUUUCUGAGUGCUAAGAUUCGUCGAUAUUCGUAAUCGUUUGUCUGCAGUGUUUGGAGAACAAGGAGUUAGAAGAUAAGGUGAAUCUUCUUGAGCUUCGUUUGGCCUCACCAUCAGGCGACAAGUCAUCGUUAACAUCUGAGCAACCCAUCCCUGAAGAAUAUGUUGAUGAACUGAGGAAGAAAAUUCAAUCACAGGUAAAAGCUCAAAUCACAAUUCAUAAUCAGAAUUUACUGCUAUUCUGCUAAAGUGUGACGAUUACUCGAUCAGGAUGCGGUUUAUUGAAAGUCUAAUGAUAGUUUCUUAUGUUCAUACUUCUUGAUUUGAGCAGGAGAUUGCAAAUGAAAAGCUGAAGAUACAACAGGUUCAGCUUUCAGAGGAGAACAGUGGGCUACACGUACAGAAACAGAAACUAGCUGAAGAAGCUUCUUACGCGAAGGAACUGGCAUCUGCUGCAGCAGUCGAGCUAAAAAAUCUAGCUGGUGAAAUUACUAAGCUAUCCUUGCACAACUCGAAAUUAGAAAAAGAACUGCUAGCUGCUCGCGAGUCUCUGCAGUAUAGAGGUUCCGUUCCACAAAAUGGUAGCAACCGUAGAUAUAACGAUGGAUCGAGAUCAGGGAGGAAAGGGCGAUUAUCUGGCCGGGUAAACGAGAUGGCGCUACACCCAGACGAGUUCGAUGCAUGGGAUCUUGAUCCCAAUGACAUGAAGAUGGAAUUGCAGGCAAGGAAACAGCGAGAGGCAGCCCUCGAGGCUGCCUUGGCCGAGAGGGAACUCAUAGAAGAUGAGUACAGGAAAAAAGCAGAAGAAGCAAAGCGUAGGGAAGAGUCUCUUGAAAAUGACUUGGCAAACAUGUGGGUACUUGUUGCUAAGUUGAAGAAGGAAGGAGGAAAUAUCCCCGAGUUUAUCACCGAUGAGAGGCCGAAUGACGUUAGAUCUAACCACACGAAUGAGCCAGAAUCGAAUGGGUCUGAUCAUGAAAUUGCGUCUAAAGAAAGACAAGUUACUGAUUGUCCAAAGCCUGCAGUUGAAGUUCCAAAGGAAGAGCCGUUGGUUGUUCGUUUGAAGGUAUGAAUACAACCAACGAAAAUACUAACAUUGCUUUUUCACCGAUUCACUUCCUCUUAUUUUUUUAUCAACCACUGUUUCUCAAAUUCAGGCACGGAUGCAAGAGAUGAAGGAAAAGGAACUGAAACACUCAGGAAAUGGAGAUGCCAAUUCGCACAUCUGUAAAGUAUGUUUCGAAUCAGCAACCGCAGCCAUUCUUCUUCCAUGCCGACAUUUUUGCUGUAAGCAUCACCUUUCAACCUUCUGUUUCACAAAACUAUAUAUACAUAAUACACUUCAACUUAUCUAUUGCAUGAAACAUAAUAUGUAACCUUGCGGUAAAUUUUUCCGCAGUGUGUAAAUCGUGUUCUCUUGCUUGUACCGAGUGCCCUAUCUGCCGAACCAAGAUAGCAGAUAGGCUUUUCGCAUUCACUUCGUGACAUUCAUAAACAAAAAGGUAAGCCAUUAUCUGCUCAUUUUCCAUCCAUCUAUCCGUUUCCAACCUCUAUUUGAGCCCUCAUUUCUCCAGUGUCUUGCAACAGGGUUUUUUGUCACCGCCAUUUAUUCCACUCGCAACACGAAAUAGCGGGCUGGCAGGUUACGGAUUCUUUCAUUACUUCUUUGCUGUAUAUGUCUUCUAUCGGAUUCUAUCUACAAUAGUUUGGGCUUCUUUAAGAUGUGUAAAAAACAAUGCAAGAUAUGGCGGUGGUCAUCAUUUGCUGGGUUCUUUUUGUGUGUGUAUAUAUGAAAACAGUCAGUUUAUAUCUUCGUUUAGCGAUAAGCAUGUGUGUUAGAGAGAAUGUGAUGGUGUUGAACUGUGUCGUUGGUUGGGUAAGCAGCCGUUAGCUUUCGAUUACUGUCCACCCAGCAAAUCCCACACGAUCCACUGCUAGAUUGUUUUUUUAGCUAUACACGUAGUGGUCCUCCUGACAAGAGUUAGGCUUGUGAUUUUGAAAUCUUCCAAUUGGAUCGUUUGAAAUCUAGUACGGAGUUCUGAAUGAUACUGCAUAGUUGAGAUACUGCCGCCGAGUGUUUGGAUGAUGGGCAAAUGAACAGGUAUGGAGAUGAGAAGUUUCUCUGGAGUUCUUUUUUCUUUUUUGGAGUUUCUCUGGAGUUCGUAGUAUGGGUUUUUAGCUGUAAAAGAGUGGUCCAAUGCUUUUACGUUGCUAUGUGCGUUUUUGGCUCUAUUGUACUUUUGUCUUUUUGUCACUGCAACUAUCAUAUCCACGAGGAAACCUCGUCUACACAUUUUCAAGGGGAGAAUUAAAGGUCGAAUGGACGAAGAGUUUGUAUGUUAAAAGUGCCGAAAGUAUAGUGGGUCGACUGUUGAAAUGAUGAUUUUAUAUAUCUCAUAUAAAGAAAACAUCACCAAACAUGAUUUUACAGUCAGAGCUGCACUUGAAAGGACAGUUCAUCGAAACUGAAACUUGGGCAAAGGGAAAAAGAGUUGGUAAACAAGAGUUACAGUCCCCAAAUGGAACUUGCAUCCUCCUCUCAAUCCUCAUCCCACCACGGCCUUCAGGUCUUGUGUAAAAAAAAGAACCACUAACUCCCCACUAGGCAGUAGCUAGUAGGAAGUAAAAAUGUAAAAGAAAACACAAGGAGAGGCUCGUAGUUAGUUUUACUUUUUUACUUCUCGAUCACUUCUCAGUUUCUAACUCCGUCACUCACAAAAAACGGGGAAAAAAUAGAAGCGAACGGAGGGAGCCGGGUCACACAUCACAUAUAAGGCGUCGUCCAGAAGUCACCACUGUACUUCCCAGCAGCCGGUUCAAGGAAGUCGUCCACCCGCCAACCCGGAAGAGUAUCCAAGUACUCGGAGAUGUUGGACCCAGUGGUGUCGCCGCUGUAGCUGACGUGGGCGCUCUCGUCCACGCUGUAGGACCCCGGAGAACCCCCCUGGUCCCACUGUACGCGCCUUUUAUUAGAAUAAGUCACAGCUGGCUGCUGCGGCGGCGCCUGUGACGGUGUGGAACUGCUCCUACAACAGCUGCUGCCAGCUGUGUUGGAAGUAGUAUUAAUCUUGGCGGUGGUUGUUGGGUCGUAGUGAGCGGAAAAGGCGGAGAGCUUGACGCCGGUGAGGAGAAAGCGGCUGUGACGCUGUGUGUGUUCGUUGGCAGAGUGUAUUGGGAUGUCGCAUUCUCUGCAGAGGAUGGCUCUGUCUUCGUGGCAGAAGAGGAAUGCUCUCUUCUCCUGUAAAAAAUAAAAAUUCAACCAAUUAAGAUCGGACCCCAUGUUCACAAAUUGUUGGAAUAAAUUCAUAACUAGAUUAUAUAACCAAAUUCGUACCUGGCAGAUAUCGCAGAGGGGUGCAUCUUGGAAGGAAGGGUGAAGCAGAGAAAAGCGGUGGUGUUUCCCGGCGAGUUUAUUGGCAUGGUGAACUCUGCGGUCACAACUUGCACACAGAGCAGCCUCGUCGGCGGUGCAGUAGACGGUGGCCUCCGAUCCGUCACAAACAUCGCACCUGAUCUUCAUCCCAGUACCUUAUAAUCGAUAUGGUAGUACCAAUAAAGCAGAGCUGAUAAGACUGAUAGACCACAAGAGUAGUAAUGGGUGAAGAACUACUUAUGGUGAAGUGAAAGGGAUAGUGACAAAAGAUAAUUGACAAUAAGUAAGAGGGUUGAUCCGUAAUUGUUCGGGCGGUAGAAUUGUGUCGGAGAUUUGAAGGCGUUUUUGAGUUUGAAUUCAAUGUAGUUUUUUUUUAUCUUGAUAUCUUUAUCUCAUAUAUCUUCGAUAAAAUAGAAAAGAAUUUAUUUUUGCUAUAUAUCAUGCUUAAAAUUAAUUAUUAAUUUUUAGGUUUUUGUUUAGUUUUUAAAGGUUUGGACAUAGUGAUAAGUGUUUAGAGUAUAAUUAAACUAUUUUAUGAUUGGUUAAUUUAGAUUUAUGGUCCAAUGUCAUAGUUUGGAGUACGAUUAAAAUUUUGGUUUUCCGAUUCAAUAUUUGAGGGUUAGAAUUUAGUGUUUAGAGGUUUAACAUCAUUCUCUAAUGUUUAGGAUUUACGAUAAGGAUUUUAGGAUUUAGUUUUUGAAUUUUAAAUCUUAAAAAUAUAAGAUUUUUAGUAUAGAAGGUACCGGUAUCUCUAGGAUACGGAAACGCUCAUAACAUAUUCAUGGCCCGACUUUGAAUUUUUCUGGUUGAUAUGAUUCGGUGUCAUUUUUUUACUUACGAUUCAAUCACAGUUUUAACUAUUUAUUAUGCUACCACGUAAUUUUUUUUGCAACAGUGGGUGUGUUAUUGGCAUGCAGUGGCGGAUUCGGGAGGGUUUUCCCGGUCCCGGCUCAGUGUGUUUUUUAAUAUUGAAGUUCAAUAUUAUGUAAUUUUCCGUGAUAUUUUUAAUUUAAUGGAAUGUUUUUAUAUACGGCUCAGUAUAUUUAAAUUUUUAUAUAAUUUGAUACAUUUGUCCAUAUUCCAAUUCUUAAUUAAUUAAAAUGGAAAAUGAAAAUGGAAGAAAAAGAAUUCGAAUAUCGACAAAUGAAUUCUUUUAGUUCCCACUCUUCUAUGGGUAUGAUAUGCCUGCCUGAGCCUGACCAUAUAUGUGUAUANNNNNNNNNNNNNNNNNNNNNNNNNNNNNNNNNNNNNNNNNNNNNNNNNNNNNNNNNNNNNNNNNNNNNNNNNNNNNNNNNNNNNNNNNNNNNNNNNNNNNNNNNNNNNNNNNNNNNNNNNNNNNNNNNNNNUUAUGGGUGAAUAACCGGCCGAUCAUAAAAUUUAUUUUAUUUUCACUAGACAAUGAUCGAACUCUCGAUUUCAGAACAAAAUGACCGACGACUAAUAUGACUUUACUAAGAACUAAACUAAGCCCGCUUGAGCAAUUAUCGCUAUAGUUUUUUUUUUCUGGUUAGAUUCCUAUGGAAAAGCCAGAAAAUAUAAAGAGGGGAUGGGCGAUAUGAGUGCAAGUUGCAGCUCAUUCAUUACUCUCAAUGCGACCUGUUUAUGUCCUUUUUUUCAUAAUUAAUUUAAUGCAUUGGUUGGGUAGGUGAUUUUAACGGGUGAUUUAGAUUUUUGAAAAAAAUUUGUUUUAAAUUACUCGUUUGGAACAUAAAAAGGGGAAGAGAUUUGCGGAGAUUUGAAAUCACCUUGUGGCCCUAGAGAAAAUUUCGAGGGUGAGGGUGGAGAUUUCGGAAGAGAGAGGGGAGAUUUGAGAAUUUUAAUUAAAAUUAUCGCUUCUUUUUUUUGUAAUUGAUAUGACCGUACAUAAAUUGGACGCAUUUUAUUUUUGUUGUUGUUUAUUUUUCUCUCUCUAUAAUAAUUACAUUCAAACUCACCCAAAAUAAAUCACCCAUUCAAACGGUAUAUUUAAAACAUAACAACCUUUAUUCAAAUCUUUUAUAUUUCAAAACACCUACCCAACGAUCCAUAAAACUUUUCCUCCCAAACUCUAUUUUGUUUUUUCCCCACAAUAUAAUUUUGAUUUAUUAUAUGUUAAUUUGUAAGUAACGUUGUAUGGGUGUAGCAGAUUAUUGAUGGACAUGUCACACCUCAAUACAAACAAAACACGACCAAAGUCCAACAUCUAAGUCUUGUGUGAGAGUUAAUUUGGGAUAUUUAGAUAUUUAGCCAAGAUCUGGCCUGACAAUGAGUACUGCACAAGAGCAACUGGUCACUGAUUUUGAAGAAUUCGUUACUCUGAUGAAGAUGGAUAGACUUAAUUUUAUGCAUUUCCGAUAGUUUCGUGCUAGCUACGUAUUAGCAUGCAGUCUAGUCUCGGUCCUCUACCCUUCCAUCUACACAAUGGUAUAAUAAUGAUAAGGCAAAACCUACUAGACGUUCAGAUCACCAGACUCUAGACGUAGACUACUACAAACUAUAGGUGAUUUGAGGGCAAAGCCUCUACGCCAACCCUGCAGACCCCGACGCUAACCGAAAUAAAACAAUGUUCAAAACAUAAAACAAUAAAGAACAAGGACUAGAAUUUCUGGACGUGCUUGCUAAUCUUCCCCGAGGUGGAGGUGUUGCCGGAGCGAGAAGCUACUCCGCAAGUAACGGACUAUGUCGAUGGGCGGGACACACUAGUUAACUUGUAUAUUACAGAGACCAUCUUUCUUCGACGACUUGAAGGGUUUCAGACCUUAAUGCUCCGCCACAUUACCAUCCUUGUAUGAGACCUCUUCACGAUGCCGUUUCGGUCGGCCGUUACAUCCAAGUCCAUUGGUUUCAUAUGGGCUAUAAUAUAAAUGGGAAUGUAAGUAAAACUUUAAUGCAUGAUUGGGAAACCCUAGAAGAAAAGAAGAAGAAGAAGAAGAAGAAGAAGAAAGAAGAAGGUGAGUAGUAAGUCUAAGACACGAUGAUGAUUAUGAUAGAGAGAUGUGGACAACUAGAUUCUCCCCCCACCAAUUGAAGAGAUUUCGACAAAUAACACUUUUCCAUUUACUUUUUUGGACCCAUCAUCCACCACCCUUGCAACUUGUCCACUACCAUUUAGGGAUAAUUUUGUCAUUUUAAGAAAAUUUGAAAUCUAAAUUCGAAAUCCAAAAUUCAAAAUCCAAUACUCUAGACCUUAAACCAAAAAAUAUAAAAUAUAAAAUCGAAACUUAAAAAAUGAGAAAUGACAAAUUUACCCCUAAUUUAAGUUAGACUUUUUGUUCGUCAGAUCUAAUGUACGAAAUAAACAAUCCAGAUUGUUCCUUGUCCCAACAAAUAGACCUCCUCUAUUUACCGCCGACCCAAAAUCCCAUAGAUGCACCCUCCACCCCCAAAUCUAAAAUCAAACAAUUAAUUACCACAUUAAUCUAAAAUCAAACAAUUAAUUACCACAUUAAUUAGAUCAUAAUUAAUGUUGGUGAAAUGACUGACAAGAUUUCAUAUGUCUAUAUAUAAUCGGUUAAUAUAUAGCGGAAAUUUGGUGCAUUAGUGUAUAUGGUAUAUUCAACAUUAAAAAAAUUUAUUCAAAAAUUUAAAACCGAAAUAAUAAAUCCUAAACACCUCACACGCAACCCUAAACCUUAAAAGAUAAUGUUAAACCCUAAACGCUAUUAUAACCCUCAAAUAUUAGAUCAUAAAACCAAAUCCUUAUUCAUACUUCAAACUCUGACUUUUGACCAUAAAUUUAAAUUAACCAAUCAUAAAGCUCCUAAUUAUACUCUAAACACUUACCAAUAUGUCUUAAUAAACACCAAACAAGAACCUCAAAACUCUUAAUUUCAACAUAAUAUAUAGUAAAAAUAUGAUAGAAUGUACCGUGUACGAACCAAACAAAAACCGACCUAGGUGGGGGCCACAUUCGCAUAAACAAUGGUAAGAGUCCAACCCUAUAUAAUAAUAUAUACACAGAGGAACAAUUGAAAAGUAGAGGGGAGUUAAGAAUUGUGGUUUAAUGACAACAGUGGUAAGGAGAUAAGAAACGAACAAUUCACUUUUUGAAUAAUAGCAUGUAUGUACGUGUGAUGUUUCAUUCAAUGGCUUUUGGAAUUUCAAAACAAUGACGAAUGAGGGAAGUGCCAUUUGCCUAAAACUUUCGAAAUCUCGUCAAAAUUUUAUUAAUGUUAUGUCGAAAGGCACGAUACUUGAACGACACUAAUAAAUAACAUUAGUCGCGAAGUGCAUACCCCACCGAAAAAUGUACGAAACAAGGAUCGUUUUGGUCAAACGAUACCUCCAAGAAAACAAGUCGCAGAAAAUAAAUCCCGGAGUGGUAGCAAAAUAGAAAGAAGUGUGGACAUGGAAUCCCUUAAUUUUAGGGGCUAAGGCGGCUCUGAAAACUUUGGCAAAAGCACAUCUUUGGCCUUAAGUGGGGUUGUUGAAUUCGAGACGUUGUCGUAUUUAAUAAAAUAUAAAGCCUAUAUAAUAUGCUUUUAUUUUUUAUUACAAACUGUCAACUUUCAUUCAUAGCAAAUUACAUUACUAUCAAAUUGUGUUAUUGGAGGUGCAGAUCCUACUAAUAAGGCUAUACGAAAUGUGGGUUUUUACGAAUAAAUGACCUCACAUCUUUCUCUUCAACAUUAAGAUCAACCAACAAUAAAUAAAAAUAAUCAAAACAAAUAACGAGACAGUCUAAAAAGUAACAAAACCAAUAAGGACUACUGAAAUGACCUAGUAAGCACGUUGCAUGUGACCUUGUUGAUAUCUUGAAAGAGGUUAGGAUCUCAGGUACCCCAGCUGUGAAUUAGAAAGGCAGACCAAGCGCUUUAAACGCUUCAUUGGAAGUUACAACAGAUGCAAUUCUCCCUUCCUUGCGUGGUGAUUCUUCUUGGUGUGGAGAGAUCCGACAAUACAAAGCUCGUACACUGAGCUCGGCGGGGGAUCAAUUAGAGUUGAGGGGGAGAGUACGACCCGUUCAGGAACAAGGACCGUCGGCUCAUUCUGAUUGUCUGCUGUCACCUGCAGCCGGAUUCACUUUCCUCCUCCUCCAUUCCUGGAGCCGACUCGAGACCGAUGGUGAUGAGAGUGAUCGCUGGGGAUGCGGCCUGCGGUACGAGGCUGUUGGCCAAUUGUGUUUGGUGGCUGCAGCGAUGUUUGGAGGCUGUGAGAGCAGCGAUGGUGGUAGUGAUGGUGUCGAGGAGGUGGCGAAAAGGAUGAGUGUGACUUGGGUGGAGGAUUCACGAUUACGAUAAAAAAGGGAAGUCAUUAACGGUUGCAUCAAAAUCUCCUUUCCGUUAAAAGCUUUUUGAGACAUCUAAAUUUUUUAUAACGCUCCUAUAUAAUAUACUUUAUAAGUAUAUUAAGUAUACGAAAGCAUAUAUAAUAUACUUUAUAUUUAAAUAAUAUGUGACAGCCCAAUAUAAUGAAUAACGAUUAUACAAUAAAUAAUUAAGAAAUGAGGAGGAAGAUCGUAAUGAUUUUGUUGGUAUGUAUUUCCAGAAGCACCAAAAGAAUGUAGGUUGUCCCCAAGAGAGCAUUAGAACCAUGUGACUUGUCUUCCUAAUUCAUCAACUUUUUAUUUUUCGCAGUGGAUAUAGAAAUGAUGUAAAAACAGUGACAACUCACAUUUAUGUUCGAUAUAAUAAUUUAGCUAUAUCGUUGGAGAGAUCUGUCAACUAUUCAAAUUUUUAUUAAAAAUUCAACUCUAAAUUGUUCAAUAAGAAACGAAGCUAAAUAAAUAUUNNNNNNNNNNNNNNNNNNNNNNNNNNNNNNNNNNNNNNNNNNNNNNNNNNNNNNNNNNNNNNNNNNNNGAACGAUUUUUUAAACUAAAUGAAUAAUGAUAGUUGGAUAAUAUGUUCGUGAUAUAUUAAAUAAGAUUUGUGUGUUAGUAUAUAUAAAAAAUGUGUUUUAAAUUUUUUUCAAAAUAUAAAAUAUAAUCGUUAAUUGUUAUAUAUAGUGCGUGAUUAAUUAUUCAAUUUUAAGAAUUAUGUUUUUUCACUUCUAGUUCCAUUUAAAAUUAAAUUUUCUAUAAUGUACGUGAUUGAUUAUUUUAGGAUAUAAAUUCAGGACUCGUUUGGUCAAUUUCCUGACUUCGCCUUUGUGUUAAGCGGUGAGAUAACAUAACCGCCCAUUAUACAGUACGCAAAACUCUUAAAUAUCUCCCGAAAAUAUUGCCUCUAAUCUAUCUCGAAAUUGAACUAUUUCAGAAAAAAACUUUAUAUAUUCACCAUAAUUCACAUUUUCUAUCUUCAACCGGUUUUAUAAUGUGGGCUCUCCUGGGCCGAUGAGCCUGCUAGCUUGGCCGCCGCCUCGACGUUAGUUUCAAACAGUUUGACUAUCGGCCUCAUCAGCAGUCACGUAAAAGCCCAGUAAGUCAGAUCGCCAGGCCCAACUCGAUAAGACUUUCCUUUCUUUUCCUCCCUUUUUUUCCGUCGGUACAAGCAUUAUCGGCCGUAAAGCCAGUUUGAACGGUCAUCUCCUGCUUCUGUUGAAGCCACUGUCCACUCCCGCGCUUCCGAUGGCUGUUCCUCCUCCUACGCUAGUUUCCGGCGCCGCCGCAACGUUGCUACAGUCACCGCCUCUUCUCUCAUGUUCCUGUUAUUCCGGUCAUCAUUUCUUGGUAAUUCCUCUGUUCUAGUUUGGAGAAGCCAAUCCUAACAUUCGUAGCUCGUAUAGUAUGUGUUUGGCUGAAGGAGCGCUUCGAUCAGGUGUCGAAACAAUUAGAAACUUGGAUUUUUUUUACGUUACCGCCAUUUGAAUUGCGAGGCAGUAUGGACAUUUGCUGUUGCAAUCAGUAAUCCAGCUAGGAAAUGAAAGUGCUGCCGUUUUCUGAUUGCAGGCAUCUAGCUCCAUGAGAACGAUCCAAACAUGGAGAAUUAAGGCUUUCACUGUGCCGAGAAUGAAGUUCGUUUUCCCCACCACCACGCCAGUACAAUCUAAGAGAAGGUACUCGUAUCAGUAUGAUGAUGUUUGGUUCUCAGAGAUGCAUUUUGUUUCAUUGAUCACGUUGGUGCAAUUUGUUUAAGAUAUUCUUUACCAAGAUGUCAUGUGAGAUUAAGAACGAGGAUAGUGGAUUCUGACAUCUUAAUUCAAUUCAUAGGAUGUGGAUUGCAGUUUUCUCUGUGGUCUUAUUGCUUGACAAGAAGGCUUAGAACUGUGAUCUUCAAAGCAAAGUAGUUGAACCGGACGUUGGUACGUUCUGCACUAUCAAGUAUAGGAAAGAGGGGAAAGGUUUAACUUCAAUUAUGACGAGUGCGUAGCAUGAUGUUGGCUGUUUGUUUGUGAAUUUAGUUUUUCUGGAUCCGUUGUUUACCUAUUUUUUUUGAGUUGGGAACUUAACUUGAAGCCAGCAUCUUCCUGUGAUUUAUGAAGUUUUGCUGUACAGUGCGCCUUCCUUCUGAUCAAGUGAUUUCAAUGACUCAACUUAAAACAGGAGAACUUUGAUAUGUGCAGUCGAUCAAAAUGCAGAAGCAGAAUUCAAAAAGACAGUUGGACUGGAUUUUCUGAUAGAAACACUGAGGGUAGCAAAUCCAGCAGAAGUAAGCAGUGAUGUUCACUUUUCUUGCUUAAUCUCAUUCCAUCUUGAGAUUCCUAACUUAUAUUUCAUGCAUUUCCGUCUUAUCUAUCAACAGCUUCCCAAGAUUGUUGCUGAUAACAUCCUUGCUUUCGAUACGGGUUUCUGGAUUCGACUUGCUGCAAGAGCAGAUACAUGCAAAUCAGAAGAUGAUAAAGCACGACCUCCGACUUGGUUAAUUAUCCUGUUUCAUGGCAUUUCAGAGUGUGACAUCAUUUGUAAAAAAGUAUGCCCGAAUAUCAUAUUUUGUUUGCAUUACUGCAGAAAGAUUACGAGGAACUGGCGACAACUUUAAUGGGCAUGGUUGAUCGUUUCGUCCAUAAAACCAAUGUACACUGCUCUUCCUUGUGCUCAUACAAACAUCUCUACGAAGCAGACUUAUUUGGUUGAUUCUUUCCUAUUGUAAUAAUUGUCAUCUCAUUGCUUACUGUAGGAAACGAUCGAUUCAUCUACAGAUGUUCUCAAGGAUAUAUUGAAACCAGUGGUUGAUCCAGAGGAAGAGGUAACAUGGCCACCAAAAGACCCCCAAGCCCUUGAGCUUAUGAAGAAAGUAUGUAUUCGCAACUGUUUAAUUAAUGCUUUUUUUGUUCUUUCUCUCUUCACGCUCAGAUGUCAUAACUCAGGAUUAGGAUUAUUAUAGUUUCGCUUUUGGUACUCCAUAUAUUUGAAGAUGUCUGACAAUUACAAUCUGUAUUAAACAAUGGUACAUUGGUGUUGUUCCUUCAUAAUGCCGCAGGUGGUAAUCCAAAGAGAGCAAGAGGGAGAACUAAAUGAAGGGUUCCUUUCUGAAGUCAAUGCACAGCUCAGAAAUGUGAGUGGUCUAUUGACAUAACAGUUAACACCCUCCCUAAAUUACUUAUUUGCUGUUGUGGUGUGGAGCUUUGUGCCAAUUAUCUCGAAAAAGCCUUUGGCUAAGUAGAUAUUCUGGAAGUAGUAGAGCGAAAUAGCAGUUGUCAAGGUUCAGCAUAACGAACUUGCAUAUGGCAGUCCAUCAAACGAUUAUUGUUUCUUCUCAAACAUAAACUAGCUUCCUGUAUGGGCGUGUCAACAGGCCGAAGAAGAUGCCGAAAAGCCAGGGCUCGUGGUUAUGCUGCAAAAGGUCCUACAAUACUAUGCAUCUGCAUCUCUUUCCAGACGUAGCUAUGCCAAGAAAGGUAAUGAUCUGCUUUCAGUCUAUCUGAAGCCAUAUUUGAAUCCAGAUAUCACUAAACUCGGAACCAUCUUCGUAACUAUAGUAACAGUCUUUUCAAAUCAUCUUUUGUCAAUGUACAGGAAACAAGAUUUUGAAGGACGAGCAGUUCCUUGAGACCAUAAUCAAAGGUUUCCCCACAUCACUCUUUUUUCGAGGAAAAUGUUUCUUCCCCUUGAACGCAUACCUACAUGUAUCAAUGGUUUGGUCCAUGCAGCUCCCGAGGAAGAGUGGAACAGGCUGUUAAUCGAUGGAUUGACGGUUGCGAAAGGUGAAAUCACACCCGAGGAACUCUAUGCGGUCAUCAAGAAACGAGUUGAACGGGUGAUGAUUCGAACGGUACGAUGCUUUUUUAAACACGCAUCUGUAACUUCCCUACAAGCUUUCUCUGUGUUUUCCGUUCUCAAAGGUGUAGUCAAAUUAUCAGGAAGGAGGGUCGUACCAGCAGCGGAUUCUGGGCGAGUAUCUAAAGAACAUCCAAUCUCGAGCUGAGGAGAUUGUCAAAGUUCUUCAAGGUCAGACGUAAAUGUUUUAUGUACAGAACUGAAGAACUCGAACAAGAUCGAGGACUACUAAAUUCGAAUCCAGAAGCAAAACAUUCACUUUGCUUCAAGUGUAAGUUCUGGAGCACGAACAUGAGACCAGACCGUACGGAAGCAUUACUAAGCAUGUUACCUUUGGACUUUGGUGUUGCAAAGACAAGCAUCGAUGCACUAAAAAAUCCGAGACAAUUCAAGGAAAUUAGGUUCACCGUGACCGAAGUAAUGAGAGAUAUUUCACCAAACACUUGGGCGUGCCAUACGAAGGGAAAUAGACGAACAAACAAGAACAGCCAUGUCCACCGCUUCCAAAAAUAUGGCGAAGCUAUCAGACAAAUUAACGAAGCAGAGAAGCAACGAUCGAGAAUGAUUCACACGUCAUCAUCAUAAUCUGUACAAAAACGAGGAAGAUUCAUUCAUCCAUUUUUAACUACAUGGUUUUCAUCCUCGUUUCAGGGAACCAGAUCAAUCAAACCGAGAAUUAACCAAUUACCAUCCCAUAAAUUGUACAUUUUCCCCCAAAUCCCCAACAUAGAACCCUAAAUUGACAUCGAUCGCGCCCAGAUUGGAAGCUGAUUAUGCCUUGUGCUUCCCGUAGAGGCAUCCACGCUUGACGUAGCGAUACGGAUCGCGCUUGGAGUUGCUCAUCUUCGCACAGGCUCUCUUCCCCAGUUUCCUCAUCCUUCGACUGUCAAGCCUCCCGUGAACCAGCUCGUCUUCUCGUCCGUACUCGUCCACCUCCUCAUCUUCCUCCUCUUCCAGAUCAUCUUCAUAUUCCUGUCUCUUCUUCCCGUACAAUCCGCUGUAAUGAUCAGCGUACGAAGUAUAGUCACUCACCACGAUCUGCCGAUGGAAGACGGCACGAUCCGCGACGUCGACGACCACUGCCUCCUCUUUCUCUGAUCCGUCUCGAGAUUCUUUAACAUCUUCGUCUUUGACGUCGUCGUGGACCGCUUCCUCCACGGCUGUUGUCAGCAAGAAAGCCUCAGACAAGGCCGGCAGAGAUACGAAUCCGUUCUCGACGCUGAGAACCGACUCGGUGUCGGAGGAAUCGGCGUCGGAAGCGUUGAUGAACUCCCAGUACGACGACAAGUCAGCACUUUGUCCGUGGACCGCAUCUUGGACGAGGAUCGUCGGUUCUUCACCUGCGGUGACGGCGGCUGACGAAGAGGAGAAGACGGACUGGAGGAAGGCGAAGGAUUUGGCCAUUUUCUUGGAUGAUCGGAGAAGAUUCUCUGGUUAGUCUUGUUUUUUUUUUGUACGGUGAAAGUUUUUUUGGGAGGUGGAGUGAGUUAUGAGCACCGAGCACGUACUUUCCCCUCUUUACUCUUCUGCUGUGGCGUGGGAUAAUGGAGGGUAUCAAAUUCACGGAUGCUUUUCUACUGGCACACGUCAAAUAGCCAAUUAUAUUACGACACGUGGAGUUCCUGACUUCCUGGGCAAGUUCUCUCGCCCACAUGGGCAUUUUACUUUCUUUUUUUCAGGUUGUAAGUUUGGUGGGUUACAAUUGGGCCUGGAUUGCUAUCGUAUAAUCCAAUUACUAUUGGGCCGGGACCGAAUAGUCGGGUAAAUUCCAUGAUUCCAUCACGAUUUUAAAUCAUAAGCCAUAAUUUAAUAGGAGACUGAAAACAAGUUUUAAUAAAUCAGAAUUUAGGUUUAUAAGUGGAUAUAUGAUUUUUUUAACGUCAUAAGAAGAUAGCAAAAAAAAAAAAACUUAAUCAACCUACUGAGUGAGAACUGUCGACAAUAUUUUAGGAAAGAUAAUCGAUAGGAUGACGAUCCCUGGUUAGUUGGUAUGAAUUUUAGACAAAGGUAAUUGUAUUGGUUUGUUGUAAUGUUCUUUCCAAUUGCUUUCUCAAACAAAAACAAUUAGAGUAUUAGUUGAGCAUAUAACUUUGAUCACUAUUAAAUUAUAGAACAUACUUCUUUUUUCAUACAUGUAAAGUGGAAGGACCCUUCCUGUCCCCUGGGAAAGCAGAUGACAAGGAUAAAAAAGUAAAGUUUUAAAAAUUGGACCGUAAAUCAAACCAGUAAAGCCGAAAUUCACCUCACUUUAGUCAUUGCUAAAAUUCGUAAAUAGAAUGCCCUAAAUACUAGUUUUUGUGUGGGCUCAAAAGGUAAUAAAGCAGUGGAACCACCGCCAACUAUUAUAAAGAAAGAUAAGUACUUACUAUAUGCACAGUGAAGCAGCCAUAUAUAUAUAAUAACUGCAUAACUACAGUAGUGAACAAACCAGCUAGCUAUAGAGAUAAUAUUAUAUCAUAUAGAAAGCUAGGCAUGAUGAACGGCGGAGGAGGAGAGACGUCGGCGGGGAGUCUGAGAGGAGGAGGGGCGGUGGCGGGGAGGAGGUGUGAAGACUGUGGGAAUCAGGCAAAGAGGGAGUGUAGAUAUUGGAGGUGCAGGAGAUGCUGCAGAAGGAGAAAGUUGGAGUGCCAAACCCACGUUUCCAGCACUUGGGUUCCCACUUCCUUAAGGCGCCUACAGCAAGCUGCUGCUAGGGGAAGUUCAACUACUCAUCCUUCCACCUCCCACCAACAACACCAUGUUCUUCUUCACCACCAUCACCAUAUUCCCUCAGGUAUAUAUACAACUAAUUUAAUUGAUGAUGUAAACUCAAAGUUGAAAUUACCCUGAGCCAUAGCUCUCUCGGGCUCCCCCUAUGUCCUCCCCUGCGGAAAGAAAUUGUAGUCUAUAAUAGUCAUGUAACUACACAAGCGGAAGUAUCUCGGUUGGUAAAGUUGUGUGUUACCAAUUUAACUUUGAGGGUAACGUUUAUGUAUAUUUUCUUCUUUCUGUUCCUAUAUGUCAAGGGAAAAAAAUCGUAUAACCGUACAUGUUCGAUGUCACACGUUCAAAUUUACGUCACUAUCGAGUAUGGAAAACCCAUAUAUAAAUUUAUAGGUUGAUAAACAUCAUAUCUCUCUACUACUCGAGCUGUGUAUCAUAAACUGGACAGUGAUUUUAUAACAUUUUGUAGAUCUGGAAAGUGAGAACUUCCCUGGGGAAGUGACUUCGAUGGCUACGUUCCAUUGCUGCAAAGUGAGGUCGUUGAGGUUGGAUGGUGGAAGAAACCAUGGAGAUGACGAUAGGCUAGUUUUCGACGAGUACGCAUAUCGAACGAGUGUGAGCAUCGGAGGCCAUCUCUUCAACGGAAUCUUGUACGAUCAAGGUCCCCAAAGUGAACGACGACAAAGCUCCGCCACGGCUGGAGUAGUUCUAGCUCCGCUUCCUCCUUUAGUUCCGUGCACUUUCCCUCUUCCUACUCUUCAUACUCAAUAAAAUCCUGAUUGCAGCCAAGUGUGAUCCAAUUAUGAAAAUAGAAUAUAUUUUGCUUUAUCCACAUUUUUUUUAUACAAUUUCACGAAAAGUUAUCGUCUUGUGAUUGUAUUAUACUUAUAUUUUUUUCCCGACGAGAGGAAUCAAGAUACCAAACAACAAACAAAUAUAAUUUAAGAAUCGAUUUAGAUUGUGAGAUCGAUCUCAACACAGUCUCGAAGAUAUUAAAGAGUCUUUUUACGCACCACUAUACGGGCAGUUACAUCAGCAGACCGCUGAACAACCUGCACGCGAAGCCGAAGACAAGUAGUCAGGGACGAGCUCCAAAGCGACUACUUCGGUGAGCAAAUCGAGAGAGCACCACCGUUUGCAAGAGCAUGGAUAGUCAAUCCCAUAAUGGGCCAUGUUGAUGGUGAUAAGUCCGUACGGGAAGAGAACCCGAUUGACAAAAUUAGCUUUGUUAUUAUAUUAACUAAAUUUGAAAACAUUUUGUAAACCUAUGUAUUGAAACAAUAAUUGUUAGAUUAUAGCCACACUUCAAAUAUAUAUUAUUACUUGGAAAUGGGAAUAUAUGCCGUCGUACUACAAAAAGAAACUGACAACAAGGAUUCCACAGAAUUACUAUUGCGAUGCAUGCAUUUAGAUCAUUGAAUUCUUUAGAAUAACUAGGAUUCCUUUUUUUUUUUUUUAAUGAUAAUCCAUGUUGUACAAGUUUCUAGACGGUACACUAAUGAAAAAUAAUAACACAUAAUAGAAUAAUUUGUUAACCCGGUUCUCUUUUGUGAAAAGAGUAUGUCUUGAGAUACUAACAAGCGAGGGAUAGUGACUACUAAUGGGGCGGAUCCAAUAUAAAAAUAUUAUCGAGCCGAACUUUGAGAAUAAGCCAAAUACCUAGUUCAAAAUGAUGCAGUCACAGAUAAAUGGAGGCAUCGACUUGGUACGUUGUGAUGAUGCUGAUUGCAAUGAUGAGAAACAAGUUAUAUACCAGCUGCAGGACAAACGAAUAAGGCACGAAAUAGUUCAAAAUUAUUGUAACAUCAAUAUUUAUUUGAACAAUUAUGCAUGGACACCCUUUAAUGUCUUAUUCUCUUGCUUAAUCAUUGAUGGUGUGAAUCUAAUUAUGCUCGACUCUUGGAGAAUGCAACUGACUAUUCUUUUUCUGAAAGGGCAAGGCAAUCAUCCUUCAAAGCUGGAAUCAACAAAUAAAGAUUAUCGAUGCUAACUAUGGCAUGAUAGAAUCCAUUUCUAAUUAAUUAUGGAAUAGCAGGCUAAAUUCACGGCAAACUCGUAAUUUAGUUAGUGGUUAACCGCAAACAAAAAAAAUGUAACUUUCGAUAAAAAAAUUUCUUCAUUUAUAAUAUGAUUAACUACAAAUCGAACCAUUUCUACACGCCGAACAUAAAAUCGGGGCGCCAAUAACACCUUAUAACAACCGGCCCAUGUCUCUGUCCACAUGCGUCCGGCCCAAAAGCGACGACACUAGCUGAUUAAGCCCACUAGAUCUGGCGCGAAGAUCAUCCGUUUCCCGCUUAAAGUUCUCCCGAUAUACAGCGCUAAAAUACACUACUCUUGAAGCUUUUUCCCUCCAUUACACUCUGAGCAUUCAUUUUUCCGUCUCCGACCGUCCGACGUCUCUCUGCAGCCAUGGCUUCCGACACAACUCCGACUCGCUUCAACAACAGUAAGCUCUCUUUCUUCAUCUACUUGCACAAGUAUGUGCGCAAUUGCAUUUUUAAACCUAACUAGUUGCAAAAUCUUGUUAACAGCACCUUCUUCUCCGGAUGACUCAUUCUCGAGUCCAAUCGGAGACACGGUUUCCUCUCCGGCAGCUGGAGGAUCUCGCCGGAGCAGACGAGGGAGAGGAGGCAGAUCCGCCGGAUACGACACUCCUCCUAACCAUAACAACUCGCGCUUCGCCAAUUCAGAGUCGACUCCAACUCCGCACCAUAGCGGGUCGACCUUCCGCCGGGGACGUCCGGCGACGCCUUCAUCCACUUCGGAGGGUGCGCCGUCGUCUGAGGCCGGGGAGGACAUGGACGAGGCGGCAGCUCCGACUUUUGUUUGGGGAACGAAUAUCAGCGUGCAGGAUGUGAAGAGCGCGAUUCAGAUGUUUCUGAAGAAUUUUAGGGAUGAAAGAAGUAGUCGAGGGACUGAGAUUUACGAAGAAGGCAAGUACAUGAAGGCGAUCCACAGGGUGUUGGAGAUUGAAGGGGAGUGGUUGGAUGUUGAUGCACACGAUGUGUUUGAUUAUAAUACUGAUCUGCAUGGGAAGAUGGUCAGGUAUCCGCUUGAGGUUCUGGCUAUUUUCGAUAUUGUACUGAUGGAUAUGGUGAGUCUAACCAACCCGCUAUUUGAAAAGCAUGUCCAAGUUCGGAUAUUCAAUCUGAAGAGCUCGACUAGUAUGAGAAAUCUCAACCCUUCAGGUGAGCUUCCACCCUACGCACCUUUGUGAAUAUGAUAUUCCAAGCAUGGAAUUGUACAUUUGUUUGUGGUUCUAUAGCAUUUUUGUUUGUCUUAGUUGUUUCAGUGAAGGCUAAAGUUAUAGUUUUCCUGACUAAUCGAUGAUCCUUUGUAUACAGAUCUGCUUUUUACUAGAAAAUUUGAUUGUAUUUUGGUGCAAUAUUUGUAGAUAUUGAGAAGAUGGUCUCACUGAAGGGGAUGAUAAUUCGGGCUAGUUCUAUCAUACCGGAGAUCAGAGAGGCAAUAUUUAGAUGCCUUGUGUGCGGAUACUUCUCUGACCCUAUUGUUGUAGACCGAGGUAAGAGUGCUUCAGCUGUUAGCUGGAUGCCUUUUGUGUAUAAUGUUGUUUGAGAUGCAAAUUAAAUGUGUGAAAUUGGGUGGCAGGUCGGAUCAGUGAACCUACCUCGUGCCUGAAGCAAGAAUGUCAGGCAAAGAAUGCUAUGACAUUAGUACACAACCGCUGCAGGUAACUUUUGCAUUUGGUUUGGUUGCGUACAAAUAUUAUCAAGGCAAUAGUAUAGUAUCCAACUGGUCGGAAUUCUUUGUUCAAGUAAGAAUUUCUGAAACUGAUGCUCCUAUUUCUUAACUUCAGGUUUGCUGAUAAGCAGAUUGUGAGACUUCAGGAGACACCAGAUGAGAUCCCUGAUGGUGGAACACCACAUACGGUCAGUCUUUUGAUGCACGACAAGCUGGUCGAUGCUGGAAAGCCAGGUGACAGAGUUGAGGUAAGGUUAUCAGUUGUUCACUUCCUGUGGAUAAUCAUGAUAUGCCUGAACUUACCUGCUAUCAUUACUUUGACUGAUGGAGUAACCUUUCUUCGGCAGGUGACUGGAAUUUAUAGGGCUAUGAGCGUCAGGGUUGGACCCACUCAACGAACUGUGAAGUCACUAUUCAAGGCAUGGUUUAAUCUUUCUGUGGUACUUGAGCAAUGGAGCUUUUAUUGGGAUAUAAUUCUGUCUAAGUGGUAUACCAUAUGUUUGCUGUGAUUGCAGACUUACAUUGACUGCCUUCAUAUCAAGAAAACUGACAAGUCAAGAAUGGAUGCCAUGGAAACUGAUAAUGGCCCUGAAAAAUGCGAUGAAGAUGUUGAAUUUGAUGAAGAAAAGGUCUUGGUCAAGACUUUCUCUUAGUGAGGCAUAACAAGACUCAUACUUCCUUUAUAUGAUCUCAGUUUCGUUCUUGUUUGAAAUUGUAGAUAAAGCAAUUGAGAGAGCUUUCAAAGCUGCCUGAUAUAUACGACAGAUUAACAAGGUCUUUGGCACCAAACAUUUGGGAGCUAGAUGAUGUGAAAAGGGGCCUUCUUUGUCAGGUAUCUUCUGCGUUUGGGUUUCUGUUGCUGUAUCUCGUUGUGAAGAACUAUCAAACUUAUUGCACCUAUCCUGGUUAAUUUAUGACUCGUUUUUUAGCUCUUUGGUGGGAAUGCCUUGCAAUUACCAUCUGGUGCGAGCUUCCGUGGUGAUAUCAACAUCCUAUUGGUUGGUGAUCCUGGUACAAGCAAGUCUCAGCUGCUCCAGUACAUACACAAGCUAUCACCUCGUGGUAUUUAUACCAGUGGAAGAGGAAGCUCUGCCGUUGGCUUGACUGCUUAUGUCAGCAAAGAUCCCGAAACAAAGGAAACGGUAAUACUAAGAGGAAUAAGUGGUCGUCCGUAGUUACUCCUUUUUCAUUUGAUCUGUGUACUUUACUCAUGCAACCAGGCCCCGAACCAUAUAAGUGAGUUAUAACCAAGUUAUAUCAUUGCAGGUACUAGAGAGUGGAGCACUUGUCUUGAGUGACAGAGGCAUAUGCUGCAUUGAUGAAUUUGACAAAAUGUCUGAAAAUGCCAGAAGCAUGUUACAUGAGGUAUGAUCCUAUUCCCUGUAUAAGAACCCUUAAUAAGUAUAAAGAUUUUCCUACAUUUGAUUGCUUUUGAAAGUUCGCAUCCUUUAUAGUUUCUAUUAAGGAAAUUGUAGCAGAACAAGAUAGGAGAAAACAUCACUGUCACACAUCAGUUGGAAUCUGCUUGUGCUGCUUGUUAUAUGCUUUUUUGUGGCUUAGUUGGUGAACAAUGCUUGAACUCUAGUCCUUGCUUUGCUUCUUGCAGGUCAUGGAGCAACAAACUGUUUCCAUUGCGAAGGCUGGGAUUAUUGCUACUCUUAAUGCCAGAACAUCAGUUUUAGCUUGUGCCAAUCCAAUUGGUUCUCGUUAUAACCCCAGGUUAUCCGUCAUCGACAACAUUCACUUACCUCCUACCUUGUUAUCCAGGUAAAGAAACAUAUUUUCUACUGAUAUUAUAAUAUUCGUUCUUGAUGGCAUGUUCAUUUUUGCUAUUGAAAUUGAAAUGACAUUAUUAUGACUACUUAUCGAGACAAGUUCUUUCUCAGGUUCGAUUUGAUAUAUUUGAUCCUUGACAAAGCCGAUGAGCAAACAGACAGGCACCUAGCAAGACACAUCGUUGCUUUACACUUCGAAGAUCCUGAGGUACCUAAAGACUGCAACAAGCCCGAGUAACGGACAUUAAUCUUGAUCCUACCUUCAUUAUUUUGGACUGAUCUUAAUCAAGAGGCUUUUUCAUCUACCUUGCAGAUCGCACAACAGGAUGUUUUAGAUAUUGGCACAUUAACUACAUAUAUAACCUAUGCUCGUAACCAUAUUCACCCUCAGCUAUCGGACGAAGCUGCUGAGGAAUUAACUCGUGGCUAUGUUGAAAUGAGAAGGAGAGGGAACUUCCCCGGCAGUAGCAAGAAGGUAUGGCGUGUCUCUAAAAACUAGUAGUAUUAGUAUAUGAACUUUGCAUGAACCUUGACAAACAAUGGUGCUUUUCUUUGAUCUGAUAUCCUUUGUAUGAAUACCCUUCAGGUCAUAACUGCAACACCUAGACAAAUAGAGAGCUUGAUACGUAUCAGUGAAGCACUUGCUCGAAUUCGUUUCUCCGAACAGGUUAGUUCAUAGUUUCUGCUUCAGCAUUGUAACAUUUCUUCUGUAAGUGGGUUAUGAUGUCAUACCUUUGGGGUUAUGCAGGUCGAAAAGAAUGAUGUAGCAGAGGCAUUCCGGCUUCUUGAAGUUGCUAUGCAGCAGUCUGCAACAGACCACUCUACAGGUAGCUAGACUCUUAUUGCUCCUCCCACACCACAUGGUUUUGUCUGAUCAUCAUCUGGUGCUAAAUGAACUUCUCUGGCAUUGUGUAAUGCAGGAACAAUCGACAUGGAUCUCAUAACAACCGGAGUUUCAGCCAGCGAGAGGAUGAGAAGGGAAAAUCUCGUAACAGCAACGACCAACAUAAUCAUGGAGAAGCUACAAAUCGGAGGACCCUCGAUGCGAUUAAUGGAGGUACCAUUCUAGUCUCUGCACCACAUCUACUUAGACAUCCUAUCCCGAUAUAUAAAAUAACCAUAAUGUUUGUUUUUAUGUGUAUGACCUCAGAUAUUGGAGGAGCUAAAGAAGCAGAGCUCUGUGGUUGAUGUUCACCUUCAUGAUGUAAGGCUGGCUUUCUCCUCUUGCCCUUUUCAUAUCCUCGUUAUCUGAAGAUGAGAUCAUCGAUGGUAGAAAGCAUAAUCUGUCUUUUUUUUAUUGCCUUUUAUUUUCAGCUGAGAAACGCAGUUGCAACAAUGGCGAGUGAAGGGCUUGUGGUUGUCCAUGGCGACAGUGUUAAGAGAGUGUAAGGAAGAACAUGGAAGGAGUCGAUACUUUCUAUGGUGUGGUUUUACUGGACUGGAGUUGAUGAAUGAUUGCUAGAUAUGUUAAGACCUUAUAGCCCAUUUUGACAUGUAAGAAAUGGUCUAGAAAUGAAGUACAGUAUGCUGGGUAUAAACUCUGGGAUGGUAUAUUAAUUUUUUUUGUCGAGAUAGUUCCUCGAAAUUAGAAGAUAGCAUUGCACAUAAAAAUUUAAUUAUCAGUUUAAAUAUCUUACAAUAAUUUUGUUAUCGGAUCGUCGAAUUGUCUGAAGCUAAAUUUCGAAUAAAAAUGUGAGCCGUUGACAAAUCUUGUCGAAUAAUAAAACCACGAAUAUAAGUUAUCUCCAAAUGGAAAAGCAGGUAAACGAUGUCAAGCAUCCACUGUAAAAGCCCCCGCAAAAAAUCAAUCCAAAAACAACAAGCAUAUGGUUUGAUUGAAAUUCCUGCUUGGCAUUUCGGUUCAGAAAUUCGAAAAAUCAUCUGAAUCCAAUUCGGACAACGCGUAUAAAAUCCGGUUUGAUCGGAUGGCGGAUCGGAUUCGAAUUAAUCCGAAUAUGAAGGUGACGGGCGGCGGGUGGGUAUCGGAUUCAUUGAUAUCUGAUUUGACUCCACCCGGAAGUCUAUAUAAUUGGAAAAAAAACUUAGAUUAGUUUGGUUUAUGUUGCUGUUGGAGAGAUUAUUGUUUGGCUUAUGUUGCUAGUUACUACAAUGAGCUUUGCUAAUGAAGGUUGUUAAGCAAAUUUAGUAUUUUGGAUAAUUUGAUGGUUGUUUGGUUGAUUUUGAUUUGGUUUAAACUCAGUUUUCAAUCUUGGUUUAGUAUGUUUUUUAUAAAAUCCGGAUCCCCGACCAAACCCGAAACCCGACAAUGGGUGAAGAUGGUAUAGAAUCUAAAUCCGAUUGCUAUAAUCGGACAAAAAUUUCCCAAAUCCAAAAAUACAAUAAAUGAGUAAUGAAUUUAUAUAAAUCCAACUCGAUUCCAAACCAACCCAUAUUACAAUUUUAGGUGAAAUUAAUCGAAAGAAUGGAAGAUAUUGGUCCAGAGUCCAUUGUCGAUGGAUAAGUGAGGCCCAUUAUCGAUGUGGUUGAAUAAUCACAAAAUAGGCUCAAGAAGGGCCCAUAGAAUAGAACCAGAAGGAGGGAGAAGAUUACUACGUGGAAGCUUGACGUGUGGUGGGCUAGCUAGCUAAGCAGAGCAGACGACGAAAGAACAAUCAAUCACCACAUCUCUCUCUCCCUUCUAUCUCUCCAUCUCUCUGCUCUGGCCUGGUCUGUAUACCAGAGAGAAGUAGAAGCACGGCUCGUGAUAACUAUAUUUCCCACUUCUCUGUCAGACAAACACUCAAUCUGAUCGGCCGAUCUGCGAUCGGGAAAAAUUCCCCGAGAUCUCAACAACAAUGGCGGGCGCAGGUGGAGGAGGAUGCUGCCCUCCGAUGGAUCUCUUCCGCUCCGAGCCGAUGCAGCUCAUCCAGCUCAUCAUCCCCAUCGAGUCUGUUCAUCUCACCGUCUCUUACCUCGGCGACCUCGGACUCAUUCAGUUCAAAGAUGUUCGUAGUCCUCCCUCCAUCUCCUUAUCUCUUUCAGCUGCUGCUGAAUUACUAGUUAGGGCAUUAUUCAAUUUGCGAACGUCCUUCGCACUGUGAAGAAGGGAUUUCUUCACGUCCGUCGGUGUACUAGAUUUUUCUCGAGAGCGAGGAAAUGGCUGUUUGGUUGGUUGAUGGUGUCUGACGUUGCGCGCUACUUGGAUUGUGAUUGUUCAUAAUGUUUCUUAAAAGCUGACUCUAAUUCGUUUCUUUUGUUUUUCUGCAGCUCAAUUCCGAUAAGAGCCCAUUUCAGAGAGCUUAUGCAGCUCAGGUGCAAUCUCUUCCUUUCUUUCCCUGUUUUUUUGGAAAUGUGGAUUGUGUUAGCUAAGGCGAUUGAUAAUCUUGAUGGUGUAUGUUUUUGUUCGAUUUGAUGUUUACUUUUCUUAAGACACAUUUGAAACAAUCAAGUGUUACAUUAUGUUGCGAAACCCUGUGAAAUCAAGGAAGUGGUAGAAUCAAAGUAAAUAAGUUUGUGUAUCCACGGAGCGGUUUCUUGCUAGAUACUUCAAGAUUCAGAUGCUGGUAAUGUAAUUUUAUUUACCAUUUGUCCUCUGGUAUAUGUAUGCAAAUUCAUUUUGGAUUUCGGUCUGAGAAAUAUAAGCUGAAAUUAGUCUAGCCUUCGUAGCUUGUGCUGUACGAGUACAUAUAUAGAUAGCAUAUUCAUUGCCUCAUAACGCAGCAACAAUUCACUAGCGUUUAAACCUCUAAGUUAUCUUUGGGCUAACGGGGCUUCUCAUUAUUUU
RNAcentral lists this long non-coding RNA (46569 nucleotides) under Linum usitatissimum (flax). RNAcentral's name for it is "long non-coding RNA (LUSI_LNC006876)". The record is from RNAcentral. Lineage: Eukaryota; Viridiplantae; Streptophyta; Magnoliopsida; Malpighiales; Linaceae.